CAGGAGCCAAUCCGCACGGCUCUUCCCUCCUGUUCUCCCCCGUUCGAGUUAUUCGCUCUUGUUCAUCUUCGCCGGCGGCGCCGCCGACGAGGACGACAAUGUGAGAGGGCGACUCUCCGCCUGGCCAGUGGGGAGCGGGGAGAAGAUAAGAUUCGCCGGGCGACGGCGGCGGAAUCCGGUGGCGGGCAAUGGGCGCGACGGCGGAGGAUGGGCCGCGCCGGGAGAAAGAGGAGCAGCAGAAAGGAGGCGGCGGCGGUGGCGAUCAUGAGGAUGGGGCACGCCGGGAAGAAGAGGGGAAGCGGCCAGACGGAGGAGGGCCUACUGAGAAGGGAGAGGAGGAAGUGGUGGUGGUGGCCGUUGAUUCUUCCGCACCCACGGAAGCGAGAGUCUCUAGGUUGCAGAUUUCUCACCCGGUCAGCUCUCUUCAGGUCGCCCCUCGAGGGUUCCCUGCCCAAGCCCGAUCGAUGCCCCCUGGCUUCCAGCCGACACCCCUCCUGGUACCUCUCUCUCUCUCUCUCUCUCNNNNNNNNNNNNNNNNNNNNNNNNNNNNNNNNNNNNNNNNNNNNNNNNNNNNNNNNNNNNNNNNNNNNNNNNNNNNNNNNNNNNNNNNNNNNNNNNNNNNNNNNNNNNNNNNNNNNNNNNNNNNNNNNNNNNNNNNNNNNNNNNNNNNNNNNNNNNNNNNNNNNNNNNNNNNNNNNNNNNNNNNNNNNNNNNNNNNNNNNNNNNNNNNNNNNNNNNNNNNNNNNNNNNNNNNNNNNNNNNNNNNNNNNNNNNNNNNNNNNNNNNNNNNNNNNNNNNNNNNNNNNNNNNNNNNNNNNNNNNNNNNNNNNNNNNNNNNNNNNNNNNNNNNNNNNNNNNNNNNNNNNNNNNNNNNNNNNNNNNNNNNNNNNNNNNNNNNNNNNNNNNNNNNNNNNNNNNNNNNNNNNNNNNNNNNNNNNNNNNNNNNNNNNNNNNNNNNNNNNNNNNNNNNNNNNNNNNNNNNNNNNNNNNNNNNNNNNNNNNNNNNNNNNNNNNNNNNNNNNNNNNNNNNNNNNNNNNNNNNNNNNNNNNNNNNNNNNNNNNNNNNNNNNNNNNNNNNNNNNNNNNNNNNNNNNNNNNNNNNNNNNNNNNNNNNNNNNNNNNNNNNNNNNNNNNNNNNNNNNNNNNNNNNNNNNNNNNNNNNNNNNNNNNNNNNNNNNNNNNNNNNNNNNNNNNNNNNNNNNNNNNNNNNNNNNNNNNNNNNNNNNNNNNNNNNNNNNNNNNNNNNNNNNNNNNNNNNNNNNNNNNNNNNNNNNNNNNNNNNNNNNNNNNNNNNNNNNNNNNNNNNNNNNNNNNNNNNNNNNNNNNNNNNNNNNNNNNNNNNNNNNNNNNNNNNNNNNNNNNNNNNNNNNNNNNNNNNNNNNNNNNNNNNNNNNNNNNNNNNNNNNNNNNNNNNNNNNNNNNNNNNNNNNNNNNNNNNNNNNNNNNNNNNNNNNNNNNNNNNNNNNNNNNNNNNNNNNNNNNNNNNNNNNNNNNNNNNNNNNNNNNNNNNNNNNNNNNNNNNNNNNNNNNNNNNNNNNNNNNNNNNNNNNNNNNNNNNNNNNNNNNNNNNNNNNNNNNNNNNNNNNNNNNNNNNNNNNNNNNNNNNNNNNNNNNNNNNNNNNNNNNNNNNNNNNNNNNNNNNNNNNNNNNNNNNNNNNNNNNNNNNNNNNNNNNNNNNNNNNNNNNNNNNNNNNNNNNNNNNNNNNNNNNNNNNNNNNNNNNNNNNNNNNNNNNNNNNNNNNNNNNNNNNNNNNNNNNNNNNNNNNNNNNNNNNNNNNNNNNNNNNNNNNNNNNNNNNNNNNNNNNNNNNNNNNNNNNNNNNNNNNNNNNNNNNNNNNNNNNNNNNNNNNNNNNNNNNNNNNNNNNNNNNNNNNNNNNNNNNNNNNNNNNNNNNNNNNNNNNNNNNNNNNNNNNNNNNNNNNNNNNNNNNNNNNNNNNNNNNNNNNNNNNNNNNNNNNNNNNNNNNNNNNNNNNNNNNNNNNNNNNNNNNNNNNNNNNNNNNNNNNNNNNNNNNNNNNNNNNNNNNNNNNNNNNNNNNNNNNNNNNNNNNNNNNNNNNNNNNNNNNNNNNNNNNNNNNNNNNNNNNNNNNNNNNNNNNNNNNNNNNNNNNNNNNNNNNNNNNNNNNNNNNNNNNNNNNNNNNNNNNNNNNNNNNNNNNNNNNNNNNNNNNNNNNNNNNNNNNNNNNNNNNNNNNNNNNNNNNNNNNNNNNNNNNNNNNNNNNNNNNNNNNNNNNNNNNNNNNNNNNNNNNNNNNNNNNNNNNNNNNNNNNNNNNNNNNNNNNNNNNNNNNNNNNNNNNNNNNNNNNNNNNNNNNNNNNNNNNNNNNNNNNNNNNNNNNNNNNNNNNNNNNNNNNNNNNNNNNNNNNNNNNNNNNNNNNNNNNNNNNNNNNNNNNNNNNNNNNNNNNNNNNNNNNNNNNNNNNNNNNNNNNNNNNNNNNNNNNNNNNNNNNNNNNNNNNNNNNNNNNNNNNNNNNNNNNNNNNNNNNNNNNNNNNNNNNNNNNNNNNNNNNNNNNNNNNNNNNNNNNNNNNUCAUCUCUCACCCCCCCCCCUCACCACCCCUGUCGCCGCCGGUUAACCUCCCGUUUAACCUUAUUCUUCUUAUUCUGCCAUUCUUUUGUAAGCUUUCCUCUCUCAUCUGAUCCGUCUACAUUACUGAAUGACUGCGAGGGGGAAGGCCGCCACAGUCAUCUGGGACAGAGAGAGAGAGAGAGAGAGAGAGAGAUGGUACCUGUUGCUCUCUCUCAUCACGUGGACGGUGGCAGGUGGGGAAGGACUGGUCGUCCACCACGGCGGAAGAGGAAGGCAGCGUCUACGCCGCCGCCGCCGCCGCCGGCGGGCCACCAGUGCCGCGCACUGUGGACGACCCUCGUGCACCAAUCAGGAGAGAGAGAGAGAGGUACCGCCGCCACUGACGGAGCCACGGUGGAAUCCAGCGCGGAGCCGCAAAAGCUUACACCCUGGGCAGGUCCCUCCAAACCGAGCAUUAUUUAUGGGGCAAAGGGGAGGACGCUCUGCUCCGUCUCGAAAUCACCGCAUCUACAAAAAAACGCGCACGUCAGUACUUGGCGGAUUUGCAGCCGAUGGAGAUUAAAACACUUCGGCCCGCAGAUAUGGUCUCAGGAAAAUAAAUAAAUAAAUAAAAAUAAGCGGCGUUGAAUGGACUCGGCAAGGUCAACUGUCUGCCUACUUUGGGAAUUUCUCCAGUUCAACGCGCCAUCGCAAAAAAGGAAAUCAUAUCCACAAAAAAGAUGUGUCUGAAGUCUCGGGGCUCUGUCGAUUGAAUAGAUGAGGUUACCAGUCAAGAACAUGCAGCAAUUUCCAAAAUAAGAAUUGCAGUGGCACGAAAGGAGAUGCAUUUAAUACCCUCUACAUGGUGGGCGACAACCCCACAGAAAAAAAAAAAAAAUUAGCUUUUUCAGGCGAGGCUGCGAUGGGCGGGCCCGCGCAGUUCAAGGCCAUGCAGCAACAGCCGAAGUAGAAAAAGUUGCACAUCUGCUGCGAUAGAUCAUUAAUCAUAUGAAACAGUGCUCAUCGCCCUUUAAUAAAGCACAAACGCUGGUGCAGGGGACGUAUGAUUAUUAUUAUUAUUGUUAUUAUUAUGCGAAAUAAUUUCACAGAGAGGGAGGCACGACACAAUAAACAAUCGGCGAUGUUUAGCUCAUGGAACACCUGGUAGAAUCGAGUCUCAUAAUUCAAGCAAUGCUUCCGGGCAGUGUCUGUAAUUGGGGCAGAGGCCAAGAACAAAGGCCACACUGUUCUAGAGAAACACGAUAGAAAUUACAUACCAAAUACGCAUAAUUAUUUGGAAAUAUACAACAUGAUCGAUCCGAAAUGACAUCAGUGCCCAUCAAUAUGCGCACAGGUAGAAUAAACAGGGGGGGAAAAUACGCAAGGGAAAAUACAACCAUGGACGAGCUUAAAAUGGGAUCUCUAUAAUAUCCACAAAGCUCCCACUUCCACUGCAACACCGCAGAGACUUCAUCGUAGGCUGCCUGCAUUUUUUUAAAGUAAAUUGUGAACCAGACCGACUGAGAGGUUCCUCACUCAAGAGCACUAAAAUGAUUUACUGCGAUGUGUUAUUGAAAGAAAGGUGGGCAGUGGAGCAGCAGCAGUAGAGGGAGGUUCUACAUGGAGGGGAGAUGAAGGCCGAAGUGUAAAAUGGUUCUGUACCCACCCUGUCUUAAUCCUCUUUUCCAGCGGUCAAUAUGGCCGCCUCUUGUUCACCAAAAGGGCAUUUCUCUCUCCUCAAUGCCUUGUAGUAUGUUUGAGGUGAAAUAGAGACCAGUCGUUUCAUCUGACAGGAUGUUCUACUUGCUCAUUGAAAGUGAGCUCCAUUCGCCAAUCUAUGAAUGGUGUGAUAGUUCAUCUCCUGAUCUAGAGAGAAGACCCCCUAAAUAAAUUUUCUGAUGCAUUACGCAAAUGGGAAAUACACAUGAAAUUAUAUCCAAUACUGGCCAGAUCAUUUUCGAAGUACAAUCAAGGAGCAUUACUUUUGUCAAACAAACCGAUCAAGAUCCUCUCAAGUCAGAAACUUCUGGCCAGCCUUGCAUGGUAUAUUCGGAUAAGAAAUACUCUUCUAUUUAAAAUGAAUUUUUAUUCCGUGCAUUUUGAAGUAAUCGGGUUCUUACCCUACAGUAGAUUCACAUAUUCCCGCAUUUGGAAUGGAUUGAUUAAUUGACCAUCGGCAGCACGUCCAGCUCUAGAAAUGAAAAAAGUACAACGGAUAUGACAGCAGGCAUGGAAUUGGUCGUUUUCCCCAUCCUGGGCUUCUAAGUACGGACCGUACUCACUGAAGAAUCAUUUAGUCUUCCCACGGCAUUCCCAAGGAAAGCUAAAUCAAUAAUCAGUUUGCUUCCCUCGGAGCAUAAAGGGCUACAUUCGUUCCAAUCUAUCCCUCAUGAAGCUAAAGAAAGAGAGCUUAUAGAGACUACAUCAGGGAUCCUACCAACUCAAAUAACAUAAAAAAAAGUGAAUUAGAGUAUUAUUCUGCAGAAAUUAGGUGAUACGAAGCAGAAAGAUAAGAUUGAAAAGCAACCCAUAGCAAGUGGUGUCCGAAGUUCUAACUGUUAAAUGAUAACAAGGUAUGCAUAUCAAACUAUACAACGAUAUAAACAAUAAAACCUCGAAAUAAAAAAUGAACAAUGAGAUAUAAAAAGGCUGGAAAUCCCCUAACAAGAAAACAAGAGACCUUUAAUAAUUAACCAAAAGCAAGCAAACACUUGUUCGAUUCAGUAAUUGAUCAAAUCAGGGGGGAGUCAGAUUGAGUCAGUGAAACCAUGUUGUAAUGCUUACGUACCCAUCUUUUCCUGGAUGGCACCAAUCAGCUCUUCACAGUUAUCCUUCAAGGCAUAUGGAAGAGCAUUUUGGUACAUACGAAAUGAUGUACGAAUUCCAGCAUCCUCCAUCCACUGCAAAACCUGCAUUUGAAAGGAAUAAGAUUCAUACUGAAGCAUUGAAAUAGAAGCAUAUCACAAAAUAUAGGCGGAUGUAAGAAAGAUAAUUAGCCUUCUAGAUGAGAAAGAUUCAAGGUGCAUUGUUGAAAAAACUAGCUAGUAGCCAUUGCUUCUGUCACUAAUGGAAGGAUGUAACAAAAGGGUUGAAAUGGCAUGAUGCUAACUUCAAAAAGAAACUCAGUGCCUUUUUUUAAAAAAAGCGAAGUCAUCCAACUGGACAUGAAUUUAAACUAAAAUCAAACUAAAUGAUCAAUGAAACAUAUGCUCUAUCCUGCACUAGACGAUUUGCCAUCUUAGUCGUCUAAUUUAAGAUUACAGAUGUUUUUUAUACAGUUACAAUGCAGUGCUCCACUUCAACUGUAGCAUUGAUCCAUACUUCCCCACAUUUAAGGCCACAGAACUCAUUGAUUGAAAUUCUUCUUUCAACUAAGCAUAAAACGGUGCUUCAAUAUUAGUAGUACCUACAAUGAUGGCCCAACGGUGAUCAUGUGUGAAUAAUCUUAGCCCCAAACAUGUGUGCGGAUAAAACUGGUGGAAGAUUCUUCUACAGGUGGAAGAAAUCACAAAACAUUCCAUGUGAAUUAAAUAAAUUUCUAGGACAUCAUCAACAUGACCAUACCGUGUACCCAACUUCUCAGGGGCAACAGAUUAUGGGGAAAAUUUUCAAGCAUGCCUGAUGAAUACUAUCAAGAAUAGGAAAACAUUCUCCCGUGACUUAUUUUAUUCUUAUUUUUCUACCCUCUUCUUAGAUAAUGGGAGAAAGUAUGUCGUUCUUUCUUCUUGUCGUAGUCAUUUAUGCUGAUGCUUUUUCCUUUUUUAAUUUCCUUCUUGUGUUGCACAUUCUGCUUUCUAACAGCUAUGUUAUUAUAAGAGUGCCAUAUACACAGCCAAAAAAGUAUUUCCUAUUGUCUCCAGUCAGUCAGUCAUUAAGUCACAAUUACAAAGAAAGAAUGUGAUAAAAAAUUAAUGAUUAGAAACCCAGAAGUUGGGUUCUGGAAAAUUCAGACAUGUAUGAGACGGCAAAGGGAGUAAAUCAGCACGGAACCCAUAUCAACCUCGACAAAAGAUGGAAGGAAGUUUUAACUAAUCUAAGGAUUCAACUGCAAAUUCAAGUCAAGAAAGAAGCUAUGGACGAAUGAUGGCUCAGGUAUAAAUGAUGAAAUUGAGGAACAAAAGCCAAGAUAUUUGUCUGCAAAAGAAAAAGCCAUCUGGAACAGUUAUUUCGCUAGAUUGAACCUCUAACGAGUAAAUUGAGUUACAAGUUGCAAUGUCAGCGAAAACAAAUUCGGGCUUCUGAAAAGAAAUGUCAGAUCGAGCACUGAUGUACAUGGCACUUAAAUCAAUCCUGGUUGAUGACUGCCCAAAGCUUUGUGAGAAUCAAACCUAAUUUUGACUCAUUAGAUGACCUCCCAUUUACAACUUGCACCAUAGAGCUAUUAUUCAAAACACUGCAAAACAUAUUUUACAAAAACAAUAUCCCGUUGGAAUGGAAAAGACAAGUCACCCAGGUAUUUUUGAAUGUGUAAAAUAUUAGGUAAAUAUAUUGGUAACACGUACUAGAAAGAAAUAAAAAGCAAAAAUUUAAACUCUUACUAACCUCAAUAUAUUUCCUCCAUUUUCCAGCAGCCAAGAGGUGUCUCAGCAAAAUUGAAUAAGUUCCAGGGUUUACAUCCAGACCAGAUGCUGUUAUCUUGUAAAAGAGCUGAAUUUAACAAUGUAGAGCAUUUCAUUUGAAGUUAAAAACAAAAAACAGCGUUCUAUAAAUCUAUGCAAACAUCUGUGAGAACGGUUUAACAAUAAAUUUAUUGGUGAAAUAGAAAGGAAAGUACACACUGACUUCAAUAAGUAAUCUUUCCAAAAAGAGGAAAUAUAUAAACACAAUGCUAGAAAAAGAAAACAUCUACAUUUGAUAAUACAGGAUUGUCGCAAGUUGGGAAAAAAAUUCGAUUGUCUCCUGCUUCUGAAUAUACAGAUUUAUAUUUUUUUUUAAAGGAAUAUACAGAUUAAUAUUUCCUUUCUAUGCUUGUCAUUUAUCAUGCAGUCUCAUCACUCGUAGCUCUAAGAGUUUCAGACUAUCACAGGAAUUAAAUAUCUUUACUGAACUGCAUAAAAUUGCGACCUAAAAGAAAUAUAGGUAGCCUUAAUAUAGAGCAUACGUAACUGCAUGGAAGAUUGAACUGGCCCAAACCUUGAAAUCACAUUUUUAUCCUUGUUCUGGAAUUUUUUUAAUAAUUUCGAGAUCGGCAUCCAAAAUUACGCUGAAUUGAACUUGGGAAAGACCAAUAGACCCGUGGACACAUGUCUAAAAUAUACUGACUAGAUUCUAAUGUCGUUCUAUAAGGCUAAAUGUACAGAGUUCACAUAGUAACACAACCUAACUUACAUAUUCUGGUGGUGCUUCCUUUGGCCCUCUAUCAGAUAAGUGAAAAAGAGAUAAAACAAAAAGAAUAAAAGGAUAACGUAGAGAACUUAGCAGUCAAUUAAUACAAGAGAUCUAAAGGCACAAUAGUAGAGUAUGAAAAAAUGACACCCGAAUGAGAUAUAAAUUUCAUUAUCACAUACAUGCUUUUGAAAAACUCAAACAAUCUACAGCCCUCGUCAAGAGACCUCUCCACUAACUCUUGGUGGAGUAAAGAUCUGAACUAAAAGAAAGGAGAGCAUGAAAAAAAAUAGGAGAGAACUGAAAUAUAUUCAGAGUUUUUUAAAGUUGGGUUGAUUUUCUGCUUGAUUUGCUUAAGUAUUUUAUAUGAUUUAGUCACUAGAUAUAUUAAGAUACAUUAACUUGACAGAAACUAUGAAAAUUAUGCUCAUUCAGUGUUAAUUACAUUUUCUCAAGAAUAGCCACUCAUGAUGAUCUUUUGAAACAUAAGGUAGUUAGCAGUUAGAUGAUACAGUCAUCUAAAUUUGAUAACUCGAAAUCGCUAUCCCUCUUACUACAGCUAGAUACCAGAAUUUUCCACCUAAAAAAGUAAAAAUUUUAGCAUAGGAGAAGUUCUUAAAAAAAAUCAACAAGAAAGAGAGAGAGGGAUGGUUUCACUAUACCACGGGACAUAAAAAACCUUGUUUCACUAUAAACCACGGGACAUAAAACGAAUUAACAAAAAAAUUGAAAAACACGUCACACGUGAAGAGCAACACGUGAACAGUAACAGUUCUCAUCAAAUCAAAGUUUUGAAGAAAGAUUUCUCAAUACGUUCAAAACAUGAGAUCUAACUCUAAUGGAGUCGAAAGUAUCUUCCAAAAUAAUAGUCUUUGAUGCUAAAACACAACAAUCAAAACGAAAAAUAUAUUUAGAGAAAGAUAAGAAACAAUGUUUUCAAUAUCUAUGUAUUAUAACUGUAAAUCCCUAAGCAUUUAAUGUUCGGCUAUAUCUUUGAUAUUAGUCUCUUUGAAAUAAUAUUCUAUCAAAAAAUUUAAAUAAUAAAGGCAAUUAACAAGCAGCUGAUACAGUGUCAGUACAACCUGGUCUUUAAAGAGACUCAAACAAGUCGACUUGGAUUUAAAGGUGCAACUCAUCACAAAAUUCUCGACUCAACGAAAUGCAAACCCCAUUUUGGAACCCUGGACUCCGCAAGGAGCUCAUUAAACGAGCAAAUAAGUUUUGCAACCCACCAUAAAGUGUGUGCAAAAUAAGAUAAGGGUACAUGGAUUUAAAAAAAAAAACUGAUAACAAGAUUAUACCUUCAUCAUACUGUCGACCUUCCCACUUUUCCCAAAAAAAUGCAGAAUCUGAUUGAAAAGUCCAAGUGAAAAAAAUCCAAAUGAAGGUUCCAAUUUCUCAAUUAACUCGCUUGCUGUUCUCCAAUCUCUCAACCUUUAAAAAAACAUAAUCAAAUGAGAAGAAUUCGUAAUCCUUUUCACAGAACUUACAGAAAACACCAUGCACCAUCAAAAUUUGGAAAAAACUCAAUUGAAUAUUACUUAUUUCUGCAAUUUUAUUGGGGUUUCAUUGAACACAUUCAGCAUGCACAUUCAAAUAAAACAGAAGUUCACACACAUCAACUUUUCGUUGAUAGUCCAAAAGCAAAUCAUGUCCUUAGAACAGAAAAUGUCUUACCAGGAAUAUUAAAAGAAAGACGGUGAUGCAUAUAUCAAUUCAAAUGUGAGCUACCUCUCGUCAUCCUUAUACAAAACAUGAAAAUCUUAGUGUCUCAUCAUUGCCAUGCAACAUCAAGGGCAAAUUUUCAGCUCAUGAUUCCAGGUAUCAAUUUCACUAUCAAAGAGCACAAGGAAACAUAAACAUUCAAAGGCAUUAAUUUAUUUACAUAUAUUCGUUUCCUAAAAUGCACAUAGUACACAAUGAAUAAGCGUGCCUGUUUUUCAUUAUGGUAAGGAUCUAGUACGAUUAUCACUUCCUUCCUGAAGGACCACUAAGAAAGUGUUACACAAAAUAGAGAAGCUAAGAAUACCGCCUAGAUUUUGGUUAUUUUGAGCCAAUAAUAUGCUAGGUCAAAACCGAAACAGAUUAGUCCAAAAAUUGGUGAUAAUGUAAUUUAUUGUGACAACAAAUAGAGUAAACAUGAAGUAUAUCACUCCCGUCACAGAGAUUCAUUAAAUCUAUGCCUGUGCCACGCAGUUUCAGCACAUGACAUGCAGCUGUUCUGCUGGCAGGCAGGUGAGGAGGUCCAAUAAUCAGUAGAAAUAGACCCUUAUGCAUGAUCUCAACAUGGAUAGACAACUUAGCUGAGUCGCAAAAUUAUUGGGACUCAAUAAUGUGGAAAAUCAAGCUUAAUCACACAACUCGGUAAAUCUUGGUCUUAAAAGUAAACAUAAAAUAUUACUCACAAGUAUAGUAAAUUAAAGCUUACAUCCGAAUGUACCUAUGUAGAAAUAAAUAUUUAUCAAAAAGGAGAAGCAUUUCCUUACAUGGUGCAAGAUGAUAAAAUUUCAAAAGAGAUCGCGGAAUUGAAAGGGACAGAUUUUUCUUUCAUCAACUCUGCUAAAGCGAGAACUCUUUCUGGCUGGCACCCUCUGUUGAAAGAUUUCAUCAGAGAUGAGUAAGCAAUCGCAUCUGGCUGGAUAUCAUGCAUUUCCAUCUCCUGAAAUAUCUCCCAUGCUCUCUCACAGGCUCCUUCAUAUCAAAGGCCCAAAGAGUUACUGUCAGUUACGGGAAAUUUAUAAACUGAACAAGAUUAUCAGGUAGUAUUACCAGCUUCACCAUAGACAUCAAUCAUGGCAGUAUAUGCAACAACAUCAGGACAACAGCCAGCUUCCUUCAUUUUAGCGAACAUGGCUUCUGCUUCUGCUAAUAGGCCCUGAAAAGUAAAAAUCACAAUGUGAAAGGAAAUUGUACGGGAAUGGUCAGAUUUUGAUAAAGGUUAAUAAAAGAAAAAAGUGGGAGGAGAAACUACGUGCCUUCUUGUUAUAAAUGCAUAUAACUGAUGAAUAGACUUCCCUUGAUAAGGGGAUCUGCAAUACCGUCAUCUCAUCAAGAAAUUUAAGAGACUCGUCAUACUUUCCCAUCUUCCACAAACCAUUAAGUAAGAUAUUAAACGUGACAGCAUCUGGUUUGAUCUUCCUUUCUUUCAUUGAUUCAUACAACUGCAAGGCUUUGUCAUGGCUUCCCAUAUUUAAAUAGCUCCCAAUGGCUGAGUUAUAUGCAACUAUAUUCAAUUCAAUACCACGACACUUAGCAGCAGAAAGUAUAGAAUCAAUAUUCACAAUUUGACCACAUCGACUGCAAGCCCCUAAAAGAGUGCUUAUGGUUAUGACAUCAGGUAGAAUCCCGUUCCUCUCCAUUUCACGAAGCACAUCUAAAGCUUCAGCUAACUUCCCUUCAGAUCCAUAUGAAUCAAUAAGUGCAUUAUAACUAACUGUGUUAGGCCUACAUGAGUUCUGUUUCAUUUUGUCAAAGAUCUCUCGAGCUUUUUCCGGCUGUCCAGAUCUACCAUAUGCAUUCACCAAUGAUGUAUAAGAUACAACAUCAGGUCGAAAACCAGAAUUUUUCAGUGACUUGAAGACAUUUAAAGCUUCCACAUGCAUUCCAUGUGAAGCAUAUGCACCAAUAAGAGCAUUAUAUGAUAUCAAACUAGGAUUCAGUCCGUCGGAAAUCAUCAAAUCAAACACUGCUUUACAGUUUUCAAUUUGCCCACAAGAAGAAUAAGCUUGGAUAAUACUAGUGAACGUCACCACGUCCGGUGCACAUUCAGCUCGUUUCUCUCUCAUUGAAUUAAAAAUAUCAACAGCUUUUCCAUAUUGCCCCAGUUUUACAAGACAAUGUAUGAUUAUAUUAAAUGUGAUCGUGUCUGGGAGUAUAUGUCUUCUUUUCAUUAAUUCAAAAUAGGAAAGAGCUUUCAAGUAUUGUGCCCCUCUCUUGAGAGCAGAAAGAACAAUAUUGUGAGUCACCAAAUCAGGCCCAACUCCAUUGUCUGUCAUUUUUUGGCAAACUUUAAGAGCCUCUUUCCAUUGACCACUGGAUCCACAAGCAUUGAUCAAAUUGUUGUAUGUUGACCGGCUAGGAGGGAUCUACAAAAUUAGGAAUCAAAAAAGUAUUACAUAGAUAUUUGAGGUCAGAAUGGAGCUAUAUAUUUCAGAGAAUAAUAAAAACAAGUGUUUCAGAUAUAGAACCAGUGACAGCAUUCCAGAAACAAAGUUAGACCAUGUGGCUUCACCUCAUUAUGAUAAGAAAAAUUAUGGGUAAAAAAAUGCGAAAGGAGAGCAGGACGUGGACACAGUUCAGUCCCUCAAAGAGGGAUGUGAGCAGACGAUGAAAACCCUUGGGCUGGCCCUCACCCCAUUGUGGUACAUAUCUAAAGAUCGAGUCGAAACUAUGGAAAGCGCAAGUUCUUCUAUAAAAACUAAGUCAACUAGGGACAAGGGCAAACAUUUAAACAGACGCAGUACAUAUUAUGGAUUAUUGGAUACAUACAAACUUGGAUUGAGUACUUAAUAGGAACUAGAUCUAUCAACGAAGUGGAUCAAUAGUUCUGGCGAGGAAUCCCAACACAAGUUAAGGGAAUUUACCCGCUAAUUCAUCGCAACCAUCCUGUUUACCAUCCCUAGAUUUGGAGGGUAAGAUGAAUAAAUAUUUACCCCCAUAGCAUAUUUGAGAAAAAAUCAAUAUAUAACUCUAUCUCCGCCUAUGGUUAUGAAAGAAAAGUCAUGUCUCAGUGUAUUAACUAUGCUAACUUCAAUAAAUAUUUAUUGAACUCCGAUGAAGAAAAGAUCAGUCCACUGGAUCAAUGGCUUGAACUCCGAUGUAGGCUAGAGAAUACUGAUUUAUCACAGGCCUGGUCUAUGCAGCAUAUACAUAUAUUGAAUGUAUGUGAUAUUAGAACUAAAGCGUGAUGGGCUCUGGUGACACAAUGUCCUCCUUCACAGUGCCAAAAGUUUCAUGUUUUUUACUUUCAUCGCUUUCAAAUAUAGUUCAUAUUUAUCCCAGAACAAUUUUUUGGUCAAAACUGGGUUUAGAAACCUUGGGUUACCUAUAUUUGUCUAGAAACCCAGUGUCUACAGACUGGGUGGGUUUACAUUGUAAAACGUUGGGUUAUCUAUAUUUGUCACUACUAAGAUAAGUUUUAAAACGAGAUUCUAAAGUGACCAACAGCAGUUGACCAAGAUCAGUAGAUUGAGGAUUAGAUUUCCAUUGGCUGUCGUGAAUAUUUUAUCAAAAGGAAGAAAAUCAAUUUGUGUUAAAAAAAUUGUACAUUUGAUAUUUUUAAAAGACAUUCAUGUAAAAAUGUAAUAGAGACACUCAAAGUAGAGAGGCCCGAUGUUCUUAAAUAAAUCUAUCAAGUUAGUCUCUGAAAAAUUGAAAAUAUACCACUAUCAUAAGCCAUGAGCCAUUGCAGGCAUGGAACUCCCGAAACAAGGCUCAUCGUGAUUCAAGGGAUCUUCUAAAUUAACGUUACAACUCCAAUCCAUUGUCUAUAUAAAAAGCAUUAAGAAAAGUUAAACACAUACAGUUUCACUGUUAACCUACUGGUGGAGAGAAGCCCUACAUUCAGCCAAGUUUCUCUUUGGCAAAAGUAUGAAAGCCUGAGUUCAACUUAAUCGACUUAGCAUUGAAAGCAUUUGGUUUUGCUUUGUAAAAAUAAAAUGCUACGAAGAUAAUUCAUGAACUGGAAAAUAACAUGCAAUUAGGCAAAAUGUGACACAGUAAGCACAUUAAGUUUCCAUAACAAAUUUAACAACAUAGCAGCAAGAGUUAAAUGAUUAAAAUAGAGCUUCUAGUUCAAGGCAGGAUUAAGGAUUUUGACACAAGAGCCUGAAAACUGUGACAUGAGCUCGAAAACUGAAACAUUGGUUUAGAAAAGAGCACCACAUUUUAAAGUCUUGUUCACGUUCCAAAAGAGUUAUCAGAAAUAAUAGCCAAACAAAAUCUCAGUAAAAGGAAAAUAGGGGGCAAGGAACCAUAAUCCCGCAAGAAAGCAUGUAUUUUCACUAUUCACUGAAUGAAAUGAAUGAGUAAUGCAGAUGACUCAACUAUCAGAUUAUAACUUAAACUGAAAGAAAAUAUAACCAAAAACUGCAAGCAACAUGGUUAUUAGAACUGAAUCGAGUGGUCAGAUCUGGAUGAAGAUCUGGGAUUAGAUGGGACAAAUUAGUUGGUCCAAACAUUUUUAAUGCUGUCUGGCAAGGUUACAUUGGCCAGGAAUCAACCAAUCUGAGUUGGAUAGACUGAUUGCUUGCUUAGUCACCUAAACUCAGAUAACUACAGUACAACUCACUCCCAGGUCUGUCAAGGGAAGGAUGGCUCAGCCCUGUGACUGAUCCAGUGAGGCAUCCAAAUCUCCCAGCGAUAUCAGAUCAGGCACUGCCAAUUUCAAUAAGGAUGAGAUAAUCCAGCUUUCAAUCACCAGAUUCCAGGCAUGAAGAUCAAAGGAGAGUGAGAAAUUCCCAUAGAGGAGACAAAACUGUAAUCAUCACUGUCUUGAGCACGAGAAGAAACUUAGAAGGUUUAUUAUGUGCAUUUAGCAGACGGCAAUGACUAGCGUUUAAAAGCAUCAUGGCACAAACUUUCACAAAAUACUCUCUGUGAAGCUUUUAUUGCAUCCGCACAUAAGAGAAUUCUCACGUAAGCAAAAAUAACUCGUGUGGAUCAAAUUUACAAGAAUAAAUUAUGAAUAUCUUUCCCAUUUUGACAAAGUACGAGCAGGACAGCACUGAGAGGUUAAAUAUUUUGAACAAGUAGAACGAUAAAUAAUACAUACAGCAGCACGAAGCAUAUCAUCCAUUAUAUUUAGUGCCCAACGCCAUUGACCCGCUCGACCAUGCGCAUUGAUUAGAGCAUUGUAUGUGUCUGCAUCUGGCUUGCAACUAUCAAAAGAGAAAACCUAAUUUUAACACCCAAGAGAAAAAUGAUAAAAUAACUACAUCAGAUUAAUUUAGAGGAUGGCAUGAGCCAGCAACAGGCUUGCAACCUUAAAUAGUGACAACCUAGCAUUGAUCAUUAAGAAAAAAAAAUGGGGACAGGAAAACAUCAUUAAAAUAAGAAAUGAAAAAGUGAAUUGCAUAUUAUGAUCUAAAUGCUCAAUGAUAUAGCAUUUACAGCUCGCCCGAACUCAACUCAUUAACAGAUAUUGGGUGGUCCUGGGUCAUCAAGGCCAAUCUUAAUUCAUCUACACCAGAUGCCUUUACCAAACCUAUUUCAAAAAUAUUUGAAUCUUAGCAUAUAGGGCUGCAGAAUCAUUGAACAACGUGAUAAAUUUAUACUACUUUUGAAUAUCAGAAGAUCCUCUGUAUGUACAUCAGACUUUGACUGAGUGUUAUCCACCAUUUUUCAAAAUAUUUCGUAGAUUUCACUGCAAUGGUAAUUCCUGUAUAUUAAUAGAAGCAAACGUACAUCAUCAAUUGUCAGUACUUUAGGACAUCAACAUUGAUGCAAUGUCUCCAAAUGCGGAUCAUUUUCUCAAAUAACUCCAUCAGGGGCAUCAUCGCCUGAUAGCAGACAUCUGCAUAUAAUAUAAGAUUUUUUGGGUCCUUUUUAAUAAAGUAUCAUCUAUGAUGGUGUUGAGAUACACAAAAAUAGUUUCCAGAGUCAAUGACACACAGAAAUGACCCAACAAAAUUAGGGCAACCCUGGUCAUUUGUGUGUCUAAUUUUUCAUUUUUAUCCUUCCCGAAUAAAUGGUGUUUUCCAACUUCUUGAGGAACUGAUAGUAAAAAUCCUAAAAACAUACGCAAUCUAAAGCUAAACAUGCGUGUCUGCUCUCAGAUUUCUUAAAGACUAGGGUCAAGUCGUGAUGAUCAGAAGAUUACUAGGUCGAUACCCUUUACACUAUCUUGGCUUCCAUGUUUACGGAGUCAGUCUAGGAACAACAUCCACUAAACCUUUUUAAACUUGGUUUUGGUGAUAUUUUUAUUAAGAGAAUAAAAUGGCAAAUUCGAGACGAAGACAACUUAGACUACACCUAUUCACACUACAGCUUCAUGCUGGACUAUGGAGGAAGAAGUAGAUCUUACCUCACACUGAUGCAAAAUAGUGUGUACUGAUAUGAUGACCUACCCUGGAAGAUUCCCAAUAAAAAGCGGAAAUAGAUGGACACAUAUGAGUACAUGAAAUGGAUUUCAAGAGGACGGCAUAUGUCAUCAUUGCACAACCAGAAAAUAGUGUGACUGUAAUUUAUAGCAUAAUUAUUAUUUAAAUAAAAUAUUAUUAUUUAUAUAGCAACAUGGGGUUAAACUAGAAAUUAAACUAUUUCAGUUUCUAGGAAUAGGUCUCUUAUGGAUGUGCUUUGCAGGCCAUGGGUUGUGAUCAUUAGAGGCCUGCACCCUACGAGUACCAUCUACUUUUCCAAUAGUGAACUUAGAGGUUCAUGGCCUUCACCUUUGCUUAGAAAAAAUCAAUUAUUAAUUAUGUCUUCUCCUAUUGAAAAUUUCAUAAGAACUAUAUAGUUAUAUGUUACUCGCACGAUGAGUGAAAACGAAAAAGCACUUUUGAGGUAAUUUUUUUCUGCUACUUGCACUGGAGGCAGAUUAUUACCUCGCAUUGUUUUUCCCUCAUUUACUAUUUUACAGUAUAUUGUCGUGCUUGCCCAUGUUGCCUGUCUUGGAGACAAAUUACUACUACAUAUUGGUUUUUCCUCCAAUUCAUACUGCCUUUAAUCCAAAACCAUUCUCUUUCCUCUCAUUGAAUAACAUGCAUACAUCAAUGCAAAUAUGAGAAAACUGUAAAACCAGACGUAAUUAAAAAAUGGUGGACAUGAUUUCUAGUUGAGCUUUUCACGAUUUAUUCCAUUUGAAUGAAAAAAAGUCAACACAAAGCAAUAUAAUUAGGUCUUUAAAGGAAAACGUCUAAACCACAAAGCAGCUACAAAGAGUUCAGUCAUGAUUUUAAUGUAACGCAGGAACACUAUUAUCAAUACCGCCAUUCUUGCAUCUCGAAAAACAAUCCACGCGCUUGAUCAGUUCGAUUAUGCUUUGCAUGCAACCGAAUCAGCAUGUUAUAGAUAUCAUUCUGAGCAUGGUAAACCUUCUGAUUUUUCAUCCAGGAAAAGACUUUAAUGCUAUGCUCAAUGGCACAGGCAUUAGAUAAUUCCUACAAGAAAACCACAGGCACGUCGUUUAGAAGCCUAAAAACAUCCGAAAUGACUAAAAACAAACAUAAGAUUCCCAUAUAAUGAAUGAAAAUAAUAGUAUGAUAUCCGUACCAAGAAAGCGUGCCUAAGUGGAGAAAGGCCAUGGUUUCACGAGCACCAAAUGCAAAUAGGGACACACAGCAAUUACAAUUCACGCAAAAAAGGAGGACACGCAAAUUGACAGGCUAAGAAUGAAUAAUGUGUAAUCCAGUCAAGGCAAAAAAUCGUUGAUGAUACCAAAAGGGUAAGCAUAUAUCAUGUGAAUAGUAUUUAAGAUAAAAGAUUUCAGAAACAAAAAAAACGUCCCCUAAUUGUUAAUGCUUGCUCUUCUUUUAACUUUCCUUUGAUUCCCAUUCAAAGUGAGGUUGUCGUGUGCAGGAUAGAUUAAGCCUUGUCAUUGGGGAGGGUUUGAUCCACCUCCAGUGCAUGUGAAAUUCUGAACUAACGACCAAAAGCUUAUGGUCCUUAAAUUUGGGUCGGCAUGCGAUUUUUAAUUAAUGCAAUUCAUAUUAUUCUCAACUUUUGGACUUCUCAAUUUACCGAUUAUCAGUAUAUAGGAAUAAAAUAAUGUCACUCCAACAACAAAGUUGAGAGGAUGCCCAGAGAAAGGAGGAUAAUUAAUUUCACUGGAGUGGGGUCAUAGAAAUCGGACAAGAAUGCAAUCUAUGACUCUGCUGACCACUUUUUGUUACUCUCUUGGGGCAAAAACAUUCAUUUAAACCCAUUUUAGAGGAGGACAGGACUUAAUCAAACUCUCACAAACCCCCUACCACUUGAAUUCAACUGUGCCUUCUCUUAUUCUCUGUUUCUCAGUUAAAUGAAACUCCAUUCAACUAGCAAGCAAUUUUUUUGUGAGAUAAACCCAACAAUAACUGCUGAAUUCGAUUUCCACGUAAACCCGCCAGACUCUCAUGUGACAUCAUCCCAUUGACUUAUUUUGGAGUCAAGCCACACGAAGAAUCCAAUAAAAUGCUGUCAUGGAAGUUUAGAUAUCUCAUUAACUACCGCGAAAGCUGUCAAAUUGCCUAUCACCGAGUACACAUCAUAAAAAAGUCCAAACUAUGGAUCGCCAAUUGACCAGAACUGCUUGCCGUAGAAUGAAAACAGGAUAUAUAUACACCGAUUAUGCAUUUGCCCGUUUGCACACCAACCACUAUCCACAAAUUAGAAGGGCCAAAAAUUAGAGAAUGCAGUAGGCUAUGCUCUGACAGAAAACAACGAAGUAACUUCAUUACCCGGAUGAGAAGGGGGAAGUUCUUCCGUGCAAAACGACCCGCCCAGCGGUUAAGGAUGCCUUCAAUGUCAUUCCAGUGUUCAAGCCUCAGGAUCCUCUCCGCCACCUCCGUCACCGUCCAGUCCACACUCCCUGCAGCACGGAGACGAUAUCUCGCUGGUAACCUGUCCCUUCCGACGCCGUCAACCUGGACAGACAGCCUGCGCCGCCCCUUGUUGUAGUCCACAGACCCCAUCACCCUCUGCUCCCCAAUUCGGUCACCAAUUGAAGAUGGAGUCCCACCUCUCUCGCCGCUCCUGGCCCUCUCACUGGUACCUUGGCCUUCACCAUCUCCGCCAUCGCUGCAUUCCCCGGUGCUGCCAUCACCACCGCAGAGGACCGAGCUCCGGCCGGGGACCCACACUUCUGGCCUGGCGCAGGCGCCCCUCCAUCCUCUGCUCGAAGGCAGAGUUUGAGGCAGACUGAGAAACAGCUGAGGGUGGCACCUGCAAGGGUCUCCUGCUACUGCCGGAGGCAUCGUCGCCAUGCCAGACGGUGGGUUCAGAACGGGAAUUUUGAAUGGAAUAGCUUACGCAUACGGGUAAGGCGCGCGUGAAAUCUUUAACGGCGAUAUCUCAAUCCAUAGGGGCAGAAAGAAUGGAGGGAGGAGAGAGAGAGAGAGAGAGAGAGAGAGAGAGAGAGAGAGAGAGAGAGAGAGAGAGAGANNNNNNNNNNNNNNNNNNNNNNNNNNNNNNNNNNNNNNNNNNNNNNNNNNNNNNNNNNNNNNNNNNNNNNNNNNNNNNNNNNNNNNNNNNNNNNNNNNNNNNNNNNNNNNNNNNNNNNNNNNNNNNNNNNNNNNNGAGAGAGAGAGAGAGGCCAUUGGACUGACGUGGUGUUUGUUCAGAAUUGAGGCCUUAUGAGUUUCAUCUAUGCAAAAUAUUGAUGUUCAUAGUUAUCUUCAUUAAAAUGUGAAGAGAUGUCCACAAGCAGAUAAUUUAUUUUCACCAAUAUCUCUUUAAUAAUUUAAAUAAACAAAUAGAGAGAGAGUUGUUGAUGCUAGCCCAACAGGGAUAAGUUAUUCAAGAACAGAGCUUAAAGAAAAGAAAUGGUAGAAGAGAGAGAAAUGAAGAGAAAUGUGUCAUGACAUGAUAAGAUAUGUGGAGAAGUGAGAUACAAUGAUGUGCAUUAGAAAUAGAGCACAAUAAUCACUAAAAGCUGAUGUAUAGUGGAAAUAAUUGCAAUACAGAUCUUAGAAAUUAGUAAAUAAAUACUCUUCAAAUGUCUAAUAAACACUUAUCGCACCAUAUAAGAGAAGGAAUGACCAAGUUUAUCUUGCCUCAUUAGUUACUAAUGAUCUAUAGAUACAAUUUGAUACAAAAAAUUAUACAUAGUAGUUGACAUAAAACAUAUUACUACAUAAUAUUGAUCUAGGUGUAAUCUUGGCAUGAUGAUAUAUUUUCUUAAAUAUAACAACAAACUUGGGGCACAUUGCUGGUCUAAACAACAAUUGGUUUGUGCUAAUUUACCUUUGCAUAGUAAAUCUGACAACUUAAAGAAAACGGCAGUACCAAACUUAUCACAAGAAUCAUUUGCUAUCAUAUAAUAAUUUUGAUGAGAAGAUCAAUAAAUAUGGCAAAAAAUUGUACUCAAAUGCAAUACAAAAAAAUCAUCACUGGUCAAUAGAACCUUCAAUUUUUUGAACUAAAAUGUUGUAGAAAAGAAGCCUCUUAGCAGAAUCAGAAGAAUUCCCUAUAAUGUUUGACUAACUUUAAUUCAAAUUCAUUUACUGAGCAUAUUUCUGAGUUUUGGAGCCCCAUAUAUUUUGAGGUGAAUAAUUUGAUGAAGGAAUUCAUCGACUUUAUGGAUGAUCCAAAUCAAAUUAUAUGUAUAUGGAUAUGGAAUAGACUUCCAUAGAUGAAACAUCCUAGUGUACCAAGAUUGUUCUUUACAUUAUCUCUUGAAAAUGUUAUAAUAUAGAUGGGCUCUAUUAUCGUUUGUUGGUUGUAGGGAGGUUGUGAAAGGAGAUAUGAGGGGACUUAACUGGUAUUUUUUGCACAUUUAAAUUUUAGUCUUUUGGAAGUGUUGACCAGCUUCACUUGCUCCACUCUUUAUGGAUCUAGCUCUCAAGUUUGACUAAUUUUUUUUUGCACAACUGUUGGACACAAAUUCCUUAACUAGCCUUCACUAGACAUCAUGAUUCUAAUCAACUAAAGCACCCCAUCAUAAUACUUAUUCUAGAUUCAUGACCAGAUUGGUGUCUUAAAAUCAUAAUCAAGCAAUAAAUAGCCCAAAUCUUACAAUUUAGACCUUUUUCAGAGUAUUAAUACAAUAAUACUCACUUAUUCUAGUUCAUGACCAGAUUAGUGCCUUACAAGCAUAAUCAAGCAAUCAAUGACCCAAAUCUUACUUUAUUUAAACCUUUUAUAGAGUACUAGCACAAGAAUACUAUAUUUAUGAUCAAUUUUUAAUGUUUCUCUUUUUACUAUUUUCCAACAUUAGAAUAUUAAAACAAAUACCAAUUGUAUUAUUGUUAGAUUUUAGACAAGUAUGAACUGAUGUAAUUAAAAUUUGUAACAUUUUGAAAAUUAAAAUUUGUAACAAAGAUUAUAUUUUCUUUAAAUGAGGGGGACAGAGAGAGAGAGAGUAAAAAAUCCAAUACAUGGGUAUCUAAGACAGGCCAUCCUACAAUAGAUAUUACUAUGGCAUGUUUUAGGCUGCAUUUGUUCUGGGAAUGGAUUCACUUACCCAAGUCUACAAAAGAUUUAUGACCCUCAAAGCCAGUAGAUUCAAUUACCGAGGUCUAUAAAAUCCCAGGCCAACAUGUGCUGGCCUUUGGGCUUAGUCCAAGCACCAGUAUAUAUAUAUAUAUAUAUAUAUAUCUAUAUAUAUAUAUAUANNNNNNNNNNNNNNNNNNNNUAUAUAUAUAUAUAUAUAUAUAUCUAUAUAUAUAUAUAUAAUCUUUAUCUGUAAACAUGUAUGCCAUAAAAGAGGACUUAACAGUCCUCAAGGUAUGCUUUGAUUCCAAAAGAAGCCAUCAAAUAUGAUGUUCAAUUCAUUAAACCCCACUGCAGGACGAAAAAGAAAAGCCCACAGAUGAUCAAAGAGGGGGCAAUAAUUCAAUAGUAGCGCAGCCCCUGGGGCAGGCCGGUUUCUGGUUUAUCUAAACAUAUAAAGCUGCCAUCUUUGGGAAGGCAGAUGGAUCGGCAGCAGCCCCAGCAUGCCAAAGAAGAAGAUCGGAGGGCGUUCAUUGAGCUUGAAGAAAUGAUCUACUUUCAGCAAAUAUCCAUCCAUUUAUUCGCGGAUCUUCUGGACUCCGAUCCAGCGAGCAUAGUCGACCCACCUGCUCAUUCAUAGAUGGCGGGUCAAGAAAAAAAAUCUUCCCAGGGAAAAAAAAAUGAAGCAAGGAAAAAAGGAAGCACUCACAGAAGAGAUCCCAGGAAGGUGUUCCCGGUUCGCACAGCAAAGCACAGAGCGCUCAGAACGAGCUUCUGGUUGUGCAGGAGGGGCUCCAGGAGUCGUUGCUCAACCACCCCAGCCAGUACUUGGUACCUUUUUCACACAAAGCAAACUUUCAGAGCCGGGGAACACCAACGAAGGAAGAAUAACAGGGGGCGCAAGCAAGCCUUUUUCACAAUGUGUUUAGUGAGUUUUUUCGCAAUUGACAGGUUGCGAAGAUCAUCAGUUAGAAUUUCAUCAUUUUUAUAGGAUUCAUGUACGUGGAUGCAAUGAAUAUUUCACCAGGCACAAAGAGGACCCAGUGAAGUAGAACAUGAAACGCACUAAAUAUUGCAAGUAAGUAAAAAUUAGAGAAAAAAUGGCGACCGGUAAGGGUAGAAAUAAGCUCCAUUAUUUGCUAAACGAAUAGCAUGUCUCUCUAGACCCGGUUACCUGAGGUUGCUUGACACUGCCAUGUAGAGACCGUAGGCUGCACUUGUUGAUAUUAUGGGGACGUCCUCUGCUUCUCCGGCAAAAUCCUUGUCAAGCGCUUUUCUAGCCUUGAUCAGGGCAUUGGUUACCCCAGUUCCUACCUGAAAAUGGACGAUUUCAGAGACAUGCCAAACAAAUCAGAAAGAAUGAGCAAGACAGAAGGUAAAAAUAGUUCUCCAUGAGUUCAUAAAUGGCAUCUAUCAUUCCAUAUUGGGUAGUAGUUCUAUAGCAUCCAUUUUUCCAUCCAGACAGAAAAGGGCACCCAUGGGCCCUCACUAGUUUUCUACCAUCUGUUCUUCCAUCCAGACAAAUAAGAACACCCAUGCAGCUGCUCUCACCAGUUCUAAAGUGUCUAUUCUACCAUGCACACAGAAGAAAAAAAAAAAAAGCCCAUGAAGCUCUCACUGGCUAGCUGUUUAGCAUCGAUCUUUCCAUCAAGACAAAAUGACACCCAUGCAGCUCCCACGAGUUGUAUAGCAUCUAUUUUUUCCGUCAAGAGAAACUGCAUGCUAAAUGCUCGAACUAGAAAACCACUCAGACAAAAAGGCAUGGCAACCAAUAUAUCAUUAAAAGCAACCAGGACUAAUACUUUACAUGGAGUACGAUUGCAUCAAAUCUCUUAUCACUGGGAAGGAUAAUCUCCCUUGCAUUUUAGGGCAGAAUCUCCGAAAACAGAACUAAACUAAUCUGAUGAAGACUUUCACGUGAAGAUGUUUUAAUCCCAAAAUCAAACUGGCCAAAUAGUUACAAGGGGAGAACCAUGGGCUUUGCCUUCAGUUGAACUUGACUAAUGUACACGAACCCACCGUGGUGUUUCGCUAGGACUAGAAUAAUAGAACACAUGGGGACCCACGCAUGAUACUGAUGUUGUGUGUGAUCACUAUCAAACAUGAGGUUUUAAGUCCAGGUCGCCAUCUUUUAAAAGCAUCCAUAAUAUCACAUUACUCCGAGUGUUGAUCAAAAGUGGUGCAUUGCGAAGACAAAACUAAGACUAAGUAUUAUAACCGCUAAGAUGAAAGGUCAUCUAAUGACUCAAGAUGCUAAGAAAAAACUAUAUCACGUUUACACGGCUUCUGAAACAGAUUCGGGGUAAGUGGCAGCAGAAAAAAGUUUCAUGUCAGACUUAGAGUGUUCAAAUCGUUGAGUUCAGUAACUUUUAGUCAACUCUUCUUUAACCGAAAGAAGAACCUAGAAAGAUAUUCUCUGCUAAAUUACAACAUCAUAAUGUGCCCUAGGGACAUUUUUUAAGCUCCACACCUCCAACCUGGAGUAAGAAAACAAUGUUCAUCAUUCAAAUCAACAGAUAACAAAUGAAACACAAACCAUUUUUUAUGCAUUUAAGUUUAAGAGAUCGAGGCAGAAAAAGAAGGCACGAAAGACCUGAGCUAAAAAAUUAACGAGUGAAACUAGGAAGACCACAGGGUUUGAUAAUAUCUAAGAGAAGGCGACUAAGCCUAUAACUCAAAAUAAAAAAUAGCACAAGCAGACUUUGUGUUAAAUGUGUGGGAGUUUGUGGUCGGGCUGUUGAGAAUUAGAUAAAUUCACAAAGAUGUACAAACAUAUACAUGUGCAUUUUUCCACAACUUCUCUAUUGAGACUGUAGCCAUCCAGGACUGGGAAGCCAGAAGUACUAAAAAAUCUAUAGGUUAGAUUAUGUUGAUAGCAUAAAGUUUCUGCCAGUUUUACAUGUAACAGUAAGUUUACUUUCAAUGAAUUAUCAUACCAGAGAUGCACCGGUGCCGACUACAAAAAGCUUUGUUCCAUUACGCUGCAAGGCAAAGGUCCAUCCAUCAAUGAGUAAUAAUAAAAGGACAUGCAUGCACAUCCACAUGCACACCCAUACACCAGGAUGCAUGAGCAUGUACGCACACACAUGCAUAAAUAGAUAAUUUUUUAAAUGAUGCAUAUUUGAUACUUCACCACUAUUGCACCAAUUCUCUGCAGAAACGAGUAAUGGGUUCCAGCUAAGGCAACCUAUAAAGAAUAUUCCAACAGUAUCGUAAGAAUACUGAGAAAGCUAUGUCAAGUAUUCUUCAAGAAAAUAGCUUUGUUCCAAGUUACCCAGAAGAAUGGAAUAUAUUUAAAAGGAAAGGAAACUCACCUGAAAAGCAUUAUCAGGGCACCCAUAGAAAAAUUUCGCAAUUGGUCCAGCACUAAAAGAAAGUGCAGGGCGAAGGGAAACAGUUGGGGCAGGGAGCCAAACAAGCAUGAAAUCUGCAAUUAUGGCCAUUACCUAGGAAGAAGAUAGGCAUCAAGGUUGUUAAAAUUGGUAAAUUUUUGUAUUGCAGUCAUGACUAUCACAGUAUCACAAUAUAGAAUAAAAGCUUCACCCAGGGCGCUAAAAGGAAAGCUGAGGGGAAUUACGCACAUCAAACAAGCCAGUUACAAAAGAACUGAUAUUGGCUAAUUCCUAAAAAACUAGAGGUGUCAUUGAGAUACGCCACUAUAACUCCUUUUUUUCUGUGGGGCCUUUAUCGUAUCACAAUCCACCCAAAGCCCUAUGCAUUUACAAUAGAGAUUCAAAGGAUCAGUUUUGGCCUGAGCAGGUGCAAAAUGGUAAGGGAUUAAGUUUUCUUCUUCCACAUUCAUCAGAACUCCUAACUGAGCUAUAGUUCAGAUCAAUUUAUAUAGCAUGCAUACAUUCCAUCGAUUAUGUAAUCAGAUUAAGUUCUUCACUCCAGAAUAAGAGGUUAAAGAAAAACUCUUUUUCUUGAUAUGCUAUAAUCACAUCUAAAACUGAAACUGGAGGCAUAAGCAUUGAUGUAAGGGAACGCUCUACCCUCAUUGAUAUGGGAGCAUUAAGGGCACAGUUAUGUUUUUUCCAAAAUGAAGUCAACCAAAGAGACAUCACUGUCAUCAUUAUUGUUGGUAUAGGAAUGAAGGGCCCUAACGAAAUGAGAUUAAUCCUCUUUUUAGUAGAUUUGAAUAAAACAUAGACGAGUUUCGUACAAUUGGGAUUGUAUCUCGGACAAGGCAGGUACAGUUGUGGUUUUUAUCAAGCUGGAUUCAAAGGAUGAAGACUGGUAAGGCCAAGAAUGUAUGGGAGCGUAGUUAUAAAUAUCAUUAAUAAAAAGGAUUUCCAUAUGUAUGUGUUUUGGUUAAUGUUAGGGACGUGCUACAUCAAAGAACACAAUUGUUUUCUUGUUUUUCCAUAAAUUACUUGUCUGAAAAUCGAAGUAUAUCCAGAUGAUAAUAUUCGUCCGAAUGUAAUAUGUUAUAUAGCUUCAAAUCUUCUUGUAGAAACGUAUUAAUGUAUUGAAAAAUAUAAAUAAAGCUGUAAAUCAUUUUAAGAGGUAAAAUAUCCCUUUUGAGAGGUUUCGUCAUUUUUCCACAUCAAAGUGCCACAUGCUUUUCUUGAUGUUCUACAUGUGUGGUAAAUCGACAGUGUGAUUGAGCUUCAGCAAGCAUUCAAUAGUUACAGAUUUAGAGCUCAGAAAGCAAUAAAACUUAUUGAUGAGCUCAUUCUGUCAUAAACCCAAUUACACAUGCCCAAGUCGUUAUCACUGAGCACUGGUAACAUGUCCUUUUUAUAGUCAAGACCAGAUGCCACGUUACCAAGUAAACAACAAGUAGAUGUCUUCGUUAAUAAAACGAUAUCAUUGAAUUUAUCACAUAAGAACAAAGAAACUUAUAUGGGGCCAUACCACAUCUGCAAAAACAAAAUCCAACUCCUUCAUAAAAUUUUCUCUGCGGCGCUCAUAUUCUGCAGCUGUCUGAAGAACAGAGUCACCAGAAAAAAAAUCAAUGAUGGGGCAUUAGGAAUGAAUAUAUAUAUAUAUAAUGGUAAAACUUAGCCAUCUGAAUAAGAAUGAAGACAUGAAAGCAAUCCAAAAAGAAGACAAGUUAGAACAGAGGCAAAAGCAGCUAAAUACAUAACCCAACACUAGAAGAGCAGUAACAAUUUCCCGAUACUGCUUCUCAACACUUCGAAUCUUAAAAGCCUCCAGCGAAGAUCCCCUUCCUGUACGUUCACAUGAACCCUCGAAACCAAGGACAUGUGACUAACAAAAAUCUUAACAUCUGACGUAAAUUUCAAGAGAAUUUUUCACGGGGAAAAAGGUGCAAGAGUUCUGCAUUAAGAAUAUCAAAAGGGAACCGAAUAUGAAGUGAGAGGCUCGAACAAUAUAUUUCAAGGUCUUGAAUGGAGCAAAUAAAUAAGUGAGAACAAGUGUACGGGCACAGAGGCCUCCAGGCAAGCUAGUAGGCAGAGAACGCAUGCCGAACGAGGUUAAUGGACAAAUAACGUUGAGAAGAAUAGGAAGAACUGAGGAGACACCUUGGUGAAUAUCCCGACACCGCACUCAAUGGCGACCUUGGUCAAGAAGAGGUCAUCCGCCAACAGUCGCUCCUUGAAUCCGCCAAACUGGAGCAGCCAUCCAAGAAGUGGUGAUUUCUCGAGCUCGAAGAAACGGUUCACAAUGGACCCUGGGAUUCUCCCGGCCUGGAUUGCAGCCGCAAGAUCAUUUGGGAUGCUCCCCAGCGACCUUCCAGCCUGAGAAAGCGCCAAGAGCGCCUCCAACCUGUUCUUCUCGCUCGAGGAAUCCUCCCCACCUUGCCCUUCCCCUUCCCCACCUCCACCACCACCGCUGCCUGAUCCUCCCCCAACACCAUCACCGCCAUCACUGCUCCCCAGUCCCACGUCGCUGUUCCCGCUGCUCCCGACGAUCAGCGAGACCAAGCGCUUGCUCAGUGGAACUUCCUUAUCGGGCAGACGAGUUGGGCCAAAGUGGAUGACCGGAGCCGUGGAGAUUGCCGACGAAAAGAGCCCAAUCUUGACGGAAGAAGAAGGCAGGGAAGACGAAGAAGACAGCACGAUGCUCGUAGGAUCGGCCGGCGGCGCAGCGACAGCAAAGCCAGGGCCGAAGGCGACGACGGUCCGGCGGAGACGCGGAAAAUGACGAUGCGUGGUCGACAGAUUGGCCGAGUAGCAGCAGCUGCUCACGGUGCUCGCCAUUCUCUCCCUUCUCCGCCUUCCACUCCGCCCUUCCUCCCCCCCCUCAAUUAUGCCACCACACCGGCCUCUCGUCAGAGAAUAUAGAAAUCAGGGUCGCUCACCACUUCGCUGGCGAGAGAAGCGCCGCCUGCCGCUGACCCCACCGCCGCCGCCGCAACCGCCGCAGCAGCAAACGCUCGGCCGCUGGAGAGAAUCUCCUCAGUCCUGACGAAGGACCGCAGAGGAAGACGACGAGGGACCACCGGCGGCUUUACAAGUCAAACCGCACUGCCAACGCCAUAGAGGAACGGUAGGCUCGGGAGGAUCUGGCGGUCCUUCCCCUGGAUUGGGGUUGAAAACGGCCUCUGCCUCAGCAGAGAUCCUUCAGAAGAAGAUUCACUGUGUGCGGACGUUUAACGGCUAGAAUAUUCACGAAUUUCCCGUAACGGAUCUUUCGGAUGUCGGCAGGGGGCAGACGGAAGGGGGCGGGGGCGCAAAAAGAUACGAGUUUUUCUGGAUGGUUUUUAGUGGCAUAGAUUCCCUGGGGGUUAAAUUCAAAUAUUCCCCUCGUUACGGCCGGAUUCUCCGCGCGUUUUGCCUUUUCUGACCAUUUUACAUUUAUGCGAAAAUUGGCAGCAUUCGCGUGUCCGACACGACAUUAAUUAAUUUUCUCCCCACAUAAUUUUUUUAUGAAGGAAAUAUAUAUUUUUUAUGCCCUUCAUGACGCCUAUAUGUGCAAUUUAGCAUAAAUCAAAGGGGUUCAUCAUUACAAACGCCCCCCCCUCCCGCCGGAAGGAUUCCUUGUAUGGCCAAGGACGCUCUCCGCCGGAAUCUUUGACGCUCUCCAGCGUACGACCUGAUGGAACCCACAUCCCAUGACUGGCCAACCGGAUGUAAAUCUGUGGACACAGUCUCUUUGGAGAAGCAGGGCCCAUUUUUGGCAUGGUUGACAAGGUCAGCCUUGUAAACAACAUUAUUGGAAGAGGCUGACUCCAUCUUGCACACAAGGCACUGCCAUGAAGAUUGGUGCUUGUUUCAUGUAGCAAAAGUGCAAGAAUAAGUGAAGCUAUGCUUUAAAUUAUUAGUGAUUGAGAUCUGCAAGUGGUGAAUCCACAAGGGACAAGAAGAAGUGUGUGUUCUUGAAUCCACAAUGGAGGGAUAUAAAGAACAUCUAUAUCAUGAAGAAUGCCAUCUUUUCUUGUAUACUUUGAGCCUCUAAAAUAGGCUAAAGAAAGUAACAGAGGGAAUCUACAAAUAUGUUUGACCCCAUACAUACAAGAAAAGGCGAUAGAACAUAGUUGAGUACCUAUUAAGUAAAACAAAAAAUUUAACAUAUAUCUUCAAAUGUUUUCAAAGACACAUUUUCAGACUUUUUGAAAUGCACCUUUUGAACAUUCUAUGUUGUUGUGACCUUGUUCUAAACAAUACAAUUUGAACGAGCUUAUUCAUUACACACCAUGCUUUAAUAAUACAUAAUUUAAUUCUUCAUUGUGGACAUGUAAAAAAAAUUCAAGAAAACUCAUGUCGGAAUCAAUAUGAGAGCACAUGGUACCAAGUAGGAGAGGGGGUAAAUUAUAAUUAGCUCUAAUUUCAUUAGUCAUUUUGUUUACACUCUCAAUUUUAAUGUUACAAGUAUGAAAUUUUAUUUAUUGAACAUUUGUUGCAUACACUUAUUAAAAUUCAUGUGUGAUGAGAGCUUAUAUUAAAUGAUUAAUAUUUCUAAGAUUAGUUCUGAUAUUCUACAACAAACAAGUAUAAUAUUAGGAGUUAACCCUUGAAAUUGAUUAAUUUCAUAUAAGUUUAAACUAGUCAUGAAAUACAACAUUAUAUAUAUUUUAUAUGUAAGCACAUAAAGUAGGGUACUAUGAUCAUGAUCGAUUGAUUGACGAUCACAAUCACGAUGUGGGUCCUUGAUCGAUUGUCAAUCAAUUGGCAGAUUGAUGGCUACAAUUUACCAUCUGUUAAAUAAUGACUUUUUAUUAUCCAAUAGUUAUGACUCACAUCGACAAAAGAGAGAUUAAAUCUAUCUCCUACUCUAGACUUUCACUCUCACUCUCAUUGCAUGUCCUCUUCUUGUCAAAGAGAUUAACUUCACUGGCACCAAGUUCACUAUCACUAGCUUCACCGUCACCAACUUCACCAUCACUGCCUCUCCCCUCUCCCUCUCUCUCUCNNNNNNNNNNNNNNNNNNNNUAUAUAUAUAUAUAUAUAUAUAUAUAUAUAUAUAUAUAUAUGUAAGAAAUAAAGGGAAUAAAAUUCAUACUCUCAUUACCUAUGCUCUCUGAGGAUUGGCCCUUACUCAUCUUAAUUCAAAGAGUGAGGUUUCAUAAAUAUUAUUUGUAUGAACUUGAUAGCAUCACAAUGAUAUAUUUAGCCUCCUAAAUCGAGUUUAUAAAAUUGGCACCAUUGCUAGGGAGCUAGGUGUCAUUGAGAGAACAGAGUUUUCCUUUAUUUUUCUUUUCUUCAAUGAACAGUUCUUUUUAAGUUUUUUGAGCCAUCGAUUAAGGAUUUUUCAAUAAAAAUAUCAAUUUUUACUUAUACAAUUUCAUGAAAUUUUUGAGCAGUAGGGCACUACUCCACACCCCUCAAGGGGGUGGUUCCCCCUUGACCCCUAGCCAACUGACUAUGUAGUUGGAUCUACGGCUGAAUCAACGAAGGUUCUUAUUUCUUAUUGUCAUUUUCUAUAACUUUUUCUUCAUUGCAGUGAUCCAUCAAAGGAGGUUUUAGAAGGUAUAUCUCUCACUUGAACCCUUUGAUUAUUUAUGUACGGUACUAGAUUUGAGAAACCAAAUUUAGUGGACCUUGAUUCCAUAAGAAGAUCUACUACUCUUGAGGAUAGAAGUGAUUGUGAAGAAAACAUUGAGGAGAUAGACCUAUUAUAGAACUCAAGGAAUAAAGAUUUAUCUCAAACCCAUGAUGAUAGAAGAAUGAAAAUGAGAGAACAUUAUAAUCCUAUGGGGAGUAAAUCAACCACUGAAAUCUGCCCACCUUUGGGCGGAGUGAACUUUAAGAUAGAAAAUAAAUUUAUUAACUUCUUACCUAGUUUUCAUGGACUGUCUAUAGAGGAUCCUUAUGUAUACUUGGAGGAAUUGGCUAAAAAUGUUCAUUGAAUCAAAUUCCAUGAGUCACUAGUGAAGUCAUGAAGAUGAAAGUUUUUUCUUUGACAUUAAAAGAUAGAACUAAAGGAAUGGUUUAAGAAUUUGGGAAUGAGAUUUGAAAGUUGGGAAGAAAUAGAAAAAUGUUUCCUAAAGAAAUUUUAUUCCCUAGGGAAGACUAACUCUUAUAGAAGAGCCAUACAGACAUUCACUCAAGGAGAUGAUGCAUUUAGUGAAGCUUGGGAAAGAUUUAAGGAUUUGAUUAGGAAGUGUCCUCACCAUGGGUAUAAUAAUUGGUAAUUGAUUCAAAUUUUUUAUGAAAGGCUACAUGAAAAUUCUAGAAAUAGAGUUGACAUGGUAUGUGAGGGAUCACUUUUAAAGAAAUAUGAUGAUGAGGUGGAAGAAUUGAUUGGAUGGUUGGCUGAAAAUGACAUCCAUCACAUGGGAUUGAAUCAAAAUAGGAGAAUUACAAGGCAUGGAACCAGAAAUUGAGAAAGAUAUGACCAACAUGCAUUUAGGGAAUGUGGAGGCAUCAUUAGGGAAGUUGACUGAAAUGACACAAAGUUUAUUAUCUAACCCUACUAUUUCAUAUGUCCAAAAUACUCUAUGUUCUAUGUGUUUCAUCAAAAGUCAUUUAGAUGGAGAAUGCAUCAACACUGAUGAAAUGAAUGUAAUGAAUUAUAUACCUCCUCACAAGUCAUAGAAUGGACGAGGCAAUGUAAACUUUAGCAAGGAGUCUCGACCCUCAUUUCAGCUAAGACCUUACUUCCAACAGUCCCAACAAUAGCACAUGUCUCAAGGUAACUCUAAUAAAUUUCUUAUGCAGAUUUUGUAGGAAAUUCAAAAAGACCAACAUGAAACAAAAGAAGUGGUAUGAGGCAUGGUGAGAGAUGUGGAGAAGAUGAAUUAAGCCAACUCUAAUACUAAAAACAUGAAAGGUAAAAGGAAAGAAGUGGACUACGGUACAAGUCGAUUUCCAAUUUGGCCCUCAAUUAAUCCUCAUAAUAUUAUUUCUGUAGAUUCGAAUGCAUAUUUUUCUUCAGAAAACUAUGAAUGUAUACAUCUCAUAACUAAAAUAAGAAAUGAGAAAUAUUUAGUUGACCCUUAUGACAAAAAUAAAGAAAGAGAGCAAGAGAAAACCUUAGAGAAAAGAGAGGAAGAAGAAGAAGAAAAAGAGGAGCUGAAAGAAAGAGAACCAACCUUAGAAAAAUAUCAACCACCUAUUCCUUUUCUAGAAGCUUUAAAAUCUUCCAAACCUCUCAUCCAAAAUAGUAAACUCUUAGAGAGCUUUAAGGAGACAAUAAUAACCAUUCCCUUAGAAGAAGCAAACAAACAUAUUCCUUCAUUCUCAAAAUAUGUUAAGAAACUUUGUACUAUCAAUAGAAAACCCAAGAGAGUCAAAUUGUCUGAAAGUGUUAGUUCUAUUAUAUUAAAUCAAAUUCCAAAAAAAAGAUCUUAGUGCACCCCUAAUCACUUGUGAUAUUAGAUGAACAUAUUUUUCUAGAUCUUUAUUAGAUUCUAGUGCUAGUGUCAAUGAUGCGGGACAAAGGUGUAAAGGAUAAAACUUUCACAUAAAUUGAUACCUCAAGUGCAAUCUCACGAUGGCUUAAAUUAAGUUAAGAGAAUUAUCAACUAAGAGAAUUGUCAAUCCCACAGACAAAGAAUGGUAAGGACUGUUAAUUGCCUAAAUAAGGAUCUAUAAUAUUAGAAUCAAGAUUACAACCAAUUCAAGAUGGAAUAACUAAGAGCAAGGAUUUUAAUUUUAACAAAACUUCACAAAGAUGAGAAAUAUAAACAUAUCUUGGUAAAUAAAUAUUUACACAACUUGAUUCAUUGAAUUUUAGAGAUGGCACAAACUCUUCUUGAUAAUCCCCACGAAAGAGUUGUCAAGAUUGAAGCAACGACGUGUUGGGAGAAAGAGAGAAAGGGCAUUGCACAAGGGAGAGAGAGAGAGGGAGAGGGUGACAUGCGGGAAAGAGAGAUAGAGAGAGAGGGUGACGGGCAGAAAGAGAGAGAAAAAGGGUGACACAUGGGGGAGAGAGAGAGAGAGAGAGAGAGAGAGANNNNNNNNNNNNNNNNNNNNNNNNNNNNNNNNNNNNNNNNNNNNNNNNNNNNNNNNNNNNNNNNNNNNNNNNNNNNNNNNNNNNNNNNNNNNNNNNNNNNNNNNNNNNNNNNNNNNNNNNNNNNNNNNNNNNNNNNNNNNNNNNNNNNNNNNNNNNNNNNNNNNNNNNNNNNNNNNNNNNNNNNNNNNNNNNNNNNNNNNNNNNNNNNNNNNNNNNNNNNNNNNNNNNNNNNNNNNNNNNNNNNNNNNNNNNNNNNNNNNNNNNNNNNNNNNNNNNNNNNNNNNNNNNNNNNNNNNNNNNNNNNNNNNNNNNNNNNNNNNNNNNNNNNNNNNNNNNNNNNNNNNNNNNNNNNNNNNNNNNNNNNNNNNNNNNNNNNNNNNNNNNNNNNNNNNNNNNNNNNNNNNNNNGAGAGGAGAGAGAGUAGAGAGAGAGAGAGAGAGAGAGAGAGAGAGAGGAGAGAGAGAGAGAGAGAGAGAGAAAGAGAGAGAGCUAGGGGCAAGGUGUGCAAGGAUAGGAGACUAUGUGAGAGGGGCAAGAGAGAAAGAGAGAAAGAAGGAAAGAGGAAAGGAAGUGUGCAUGGGAGAGGGAGGAAAAAAGGACGGAUGAGGGAGAGGGACAAGUAGAGAUCCGAGAGAGAAAAAGGGGAAAAAAAGUUAAUCAUUCAUCUUGUCUGUGCUGUUCACAAUAGUUUCUAUGCUUUAUAGAGAGAUGCAAAGGUAGUUAUGAGGAGACAACCCCAAAGGGUGCCAAAAGACACAUUAAAGAGAUGCUUUUGUCAAAGGACUCCUUGGAUGAAGAGGUGAGUCUCUGUUAGUAUCUCUUUCGUCCUCUUCUAUAACCUCUUCUUCCACUUCAUGGGCCCACUUAUUUAGGUGGAUCCUCUUAUUGGAUCAUACGGGCCCAAUAAUAGUUGAACCAAUAUUCCAAUUGAAGUCCACUAAAGGAGGUAGAAGUCAAGAAACUUAGAUUAAGUUGACUCCCAAAUUAUAAUCCACUCUAAUCCUUGCAGUCCUUUGUGGUAAAGUUGAUCUUGAUGUUCUUUGUUGAGCUCUUGGGAUGUCAAGGGGUUGAUUUAUGUUGACUUACUAAUUGAUCCCAUUAGUCAAUCUCAUGUGAAAAGCUUUAUAUGAUAAAUUUAAAUUUGGAGAUUUGGAAUCAGUCCUCUUAGAAUUACAACUUGUGGAUGAAUUUAUUGAGCAACCAUAUGGUUUGUUGGAAGAUGUGAUGAUUAAGGUAGAACAUUUCACACUUUUCAUUGAAUUUAUUGUGGCUGAUAUGAAAAUACCUGAUAAUUAGAGUAGAGCACCUAUAAUUUUAGGGAGACCCUUUUUAGCCACUGCCAAAGCCAUAAUGGAUUGGGAGAAAAGAAUAGUAGUAUUAAGGGUAAGAGAGGAGAAGGUUGAACUAAAUAUUUUGAGACUAAUGAAAUAUCCUAGUGUUAGCCAUAAAGAAGUUGGUAUUCGUAAUGUUUUUGAUUAAGAUGAUGCACUAGGAGAAAAUUAUUUUGAAAUUUGUAGAGUAGAACAAAAGGAACAACUUUUGGAACCUCCGAAACCCUUUCCUACCCCAAAUUUAGACCUAAAACUUUUACCCUCUUCAUUAAAAUAUAAUUUCUUAGGCCCUAAAAACACCUUACUAGUUAUUAUAUCAUCAUGCCUUACAUCUCAACAAGAGGAAAAAGUCAUGCAUGUAUUGAAGGAAAAUAGGGCUGCAAUAGCAUGGUCAUUUGAUAAUAUAAAAGGGGUACCUCCUAAGGUGUGUAGGUGUGUGAGCAUAGGAUAUUUUUAGAAGAAGGCUCUAAGCCAUCAAAGGAAAAUCAAAAGUGCUUAAAUCCUCAUAUGUUAGAAGUUUUAAAGAAGUAAAUCUUGAAAUGGCUUAAAGCAGAUGUAAUAUAUGUGCAAUAUUAGAUAGCUCUUGGAUAAGUCCAGUUCACAUGGUACCAAAGAAAACUAGCAUAACAUUGAAAAAAAAAUAAAAAAGAGGAAGAAGUGCAAACUAGAUUAGCCAACAGCUGGAGAGUAUGUAUAGACUAUAGGAAAUUAAAUCUGGUAACAUUUGCUUUUAAACAAAUGCCAUUUGAUUUUGUAAUGCUCCAGCAACAUUUCAAAGAUGUAUGAAUGCUAUGUUUACUAAAUUAGUGGGAAAUAGAUUGGAAAUUUUCAUAAAUGAUUUUUUAAUUUUUGGUGUAUCAAUUGAUAUGUAUUUAUUUAAUCUAACGUAAGUUUUACAAAUAUGUAUCUAAAAUAAUCUUGUAUUAAGUUGGGAAAAAUCUCAUUUUAUGGUGUAUGAAGGAAUAGUGUUGGGACAUAUGAGUCAGCAAGCAUGGGUUGAAGGUAGACAAGGCCAAAAUCGAAGUUACCAAGUAUCUACCUCUUCUCAAGAAAUUAAAACAACUUAGAGGGUUCCUCAGCCAUGGGGGCUUUUACAAGAGAUUCAUCAAAGAUUUUGCUAAGAUUUCUAAUUCUUUAACUAAUCUCUUGUCCAAAGAUGUAAAUUUUAUUAUUAAUACUAAUUCUAGGAUUAUUUUCAAUAAAAUUAAAGAUGCACUCAUUUAAGCGAACAUUUUGCAGGCCCCUAAUUGAAGUUUACCCUUUGAGCUAAUAUGUGAUGCAUUGAACUUUGUAGUGGGGGCAAUCCUAGGCCAAAGAAUCGACAAAAAAACUGGUGGCCAUCUAUGACGCUAGUAAGACCUUAGUGGAUGCUCAAGUGAAUUAUUCAACUACUAAAAUGGAAUUAUUAGCUAUUGUUUUUGCUUUAGAGAAGUUCAGGUCUCAUCUAUUAGGUAGUAAUAUUAUUAUUUUCUCUGAUCAUGCAGCUUUAAAGUUUUUACUUAGAAAGAAAGAAGCUAAACUUAGUCGUAUUAGGCGGAUAAUUUUGUUACAAGAAUUUGAUUUUGAGAUUAAGGAUAAGAAGGGAAGUGAAAAUGUAGUGGCUGAUCAUUUAUCCAGGAUGAUAGUAGAGGACUCACAGCCCAUUAGUGAUUGUUUUCCUGAUGAACAUAUUUUAGGAAUCCAAACUAGAAAAAUUCCUUAGUAUUCGUAUAUAGUGAAUUAUUUUUUUACAAGAAUGUUACCUUUAGAUUGGGACUACAAUGAGAGAAAAAAAUUCUUCAAAAAAUUAUCACAUUAUUAUUGGGAAGAACCUGAAUUAUUUAUUGAGGAGCUGAUCAAAUUUUGAGGAGAUGUGUGCUAGAGGCAUUUUGUCAUUCAUCACCAUGUGGAGGCCAUUAUUCCUCUAAAAUUAGAGCUUAAAAGGUCUCAAAAUGUGAGUUUUAUUGGCCAAAUUUAUUUAAAGAUUUUUAUGAUUUUUUUUUAAGAUGUUUAAGAUGUCAUGUGGCCAUUAAUUUGAGUAAGAAAGAUCAUGUCUCUUAAGCCAAUUUUAGAAGUAGAGAUCUUUGAUUUAUGGGGAAUUGAUUUCAUAGGACCUUUCCCAAAUUCAGAGGGAUAUGAAUAUAUUUUGAUGGUAGUAAAUUAUAUAUCUCAUUAGGUAGAAGCAAUUCCUACUAGAACUAAUGAUGAAAAGGUGGUAAUUAAAUUUAUUGAGCAUCAUAUUUGUUUAAGGUUUGGGUGUCAUAGGGCCAUCAUUAAUGAUCGAAGAUUACAUUUUAAUAACAAUAAAUUUAAGACCCUACUGAAAAGAUAUGGAGUUGAUCAUAGGAUAACUACACCUUAUCACCCGCAAGUCAAUGGACAAGUAGAAAUGUGUCAUAGAGAGAUUAAAAAAAUUCUGCAAAAAAACUAUAAGCUUGAUGGAAAGGAUUGGUCUAAGAGAUUAUAUGAUGCUCUAUGGGCAUAUAGGAUAGCAUAUAAAACACCUUUACGUAUAUCACCAUAUAGAUUAAUUUUUAGUAAAACGUGUCAUCUUCUCAUAGAGCUAAAGUAAAGAGCAUAUUGGGAAAUUAAAAGCUUGAAUUUAUCUAUUAUUGAUGCUGGAAAUAAAUGAUUACUUGAAUUGCAUGAGUUAAAUGAGAUAUAAAAUGAGGCAUAUGAUAAUUCUAAGAUUUAUAAAGUUAAAAUGAAGAGAUUUCAUAACAAACAAUUGAGGAGAAGAGAAUUCAAAGAAAAUCAAAAAGUAUGGAUUUAUAAUUCGAGAUUUAAACUCUUUCUUGGUAAGUUAAAAUCUAGAUGAGAUGGUUCAUUUAUUAUUAUUAAAGUCUUUGAAUCUGAUGCUGUUUUAAUUGAGGAUCCAAAAAUAGGGCAGCAAAUAAAAGUGAAUAGACAAAGAUUGAAACCUUAUGUAGAAAAUGAUCCACUUUUUCCACCAAUUUCAAUCAAUUUUAAGAUGUCAUCUCAUGAAACUAAUGAUUCUUUUAAUUCCACUGCACAAGCCUAGUAGUUAAUCUCUUCUUAUUUUAGUAUUUUUCUUUCGUGUGUGCUUUAUUUUGUGUUUGUGUUUUCUUUUCUAUGUAGGAGGGCCUUGAAAUCUCCAUGAUCUUGAGCUGCUAAGAGAAAUGAUCAUAGAAGUCUACAAAGAGCUACCUCCAUUCUUGCAAAUGAAGCAUCUUCCUUCGAUUUGAAGAAUUUUAAUUGUGUUAAUUCUUUCUACAUGCAUUGAGGAGCAUGCACAGAUAAAGUGGGGGUAUGAAUCAUUUAUAUGUCUUCUGUAAAAAAUUUAAAAUUCUGCAUGUGAUUGAUGCAUAUUAUGUUUUCAUAAGUGGAGAGAAUUUUCUCAUAAAAAUAUUUUCAAUCGUUAUCAACCCCACCUUAGUGAGUCCAUUCACCUAGAAAUCUUAGAAUUUAGGACAUAGAAGUUAGGCUAUUGCAGUGAAUUGAGAUCAACUCGGAAUGGCACAACCAUGGGACCUAAAUCAACUAUGAGGAUUUUUAUAUAAUGAAUGACCUCCUAGGAGUGAGAUAUCAAUCCAAUGAGCAUCAAAGGAAUAUGAAAAAUCAAAAGGUUGAAGUACUAUUGGUGUGGACCUGAGAGAAUUGAGUGAUAGGAAAUGUAGACCCCCUCCCUAUGUCAGCCGAUCCUACUUGGUGUGUGGAUUUUCAUUGAUCGAAAUUUUCCUUUUUAGGAAUAGUGGAAAGGCAUCGAAUCUUAGGUAUAGAAUGAUACCCAUACAUUUUCCAUCCACUAUACCUUAUUCAGUUCAUAUAUCUUAUUCAACCAUGCCAUUUUAUCCCUCUAUAAGACCCAAAUUUACCCUUCAGAUUUCCACAAUUAGGCCACCAUCUUUCCACUCAUUUUUCUUAUCCACUCAUGAUGGUUGUUAUCCCAAAUAGUACUUAUUCUUUUCAUAUGUCAUUUAUUUCUCUUUACACUCAUCUUUCUCAACAUUCUCUCUUCUUUUAAAGUUUUAUAUGUUUGAGUUAAGAUUUUCAUUCACUAAAAAAAAGCAGGAAAAAAAAAAGAAGAAAAAAUGAGGAGAAUAGAGGAAAGAAGUAAUAGAAGAGGAGAUCAGUGGGGAAUUCUUUUGUCUACCUAUUCCAUGUUCUCAAAUGACAUUAUGUAAAUCUUUUCAAUCCAAACAUCUUGAUUUGGGAGCAUAACUAUCAUGAAUGGGGCUUAGCCAUUGAUUGCAUAACCUAUCAUUGCCACUACAUUAAACCAUGCCCGUCAUCCUAUGACCUACAUUAUUAAUGUAUUUUCCUUUCCAUUGUCUUUAUUCAUCUCACCUUCCUUGUAUCACAUCUUUCUUCCCUCUUUCUUUUGUACCACAAGGAGAUGUCUUUGCACUCAUUUCCUUAAAACGGAAGGAAGGUUAAAGAGGAUUCCUAGCACCAAGUAGCCACAUAUAUGAGAGAGAGAGGUAUCCAUUUAGAGGGGGUUAGGAUUAGAAGCAUCAUUGAAAUGUGAGAAUCUUUUCAUGCCUAUAAUAUCAUACAUAGAGAUAUGCUCAUCAUUCUUUACUGCCCAUGGCUCUUUUCCAAAAUUUCUAAGAGGUUGAUCAAGAUGAUAGAACCUGGACUUUUAUGAGUUUGAUCAUUUGCUGAGGUGUGAUCAAUACUUUGAACACUUGUCUUCAUGUUUCAAGACCGAAAGGUGAAAGGAUAAUCUAAGGAGAAUUUAAAUGAAAUUGCUAAGAGACUAGCAAUGAGUAAAGUAGGAGGUAUUUGAUAAUUAUAAAUUAGUAGUUACAUCUAUGUAUUAAUAUCUUAUAUAUAAAUACUAAUUAGUGGGUAGAGAAUGUAAUUAAACAUGGUGAGGAAGUGUCCUCACUAUGGAAAAAGUAAUUGACAAUUGAUUCAAAUUUUUUAUGAAGGGCUACAUGAAAAUGCUAGAAAUAGAAUUGACAUGGUAUGUGGGGGAUCACUUUUAGACAAAUAUGAUGAUGAGGUGGAAGAAUCAAUUUGAUGAACUCGAUUUAGGAGGCUAAAUAAAUCAUCGUGAUGCCAAGUUCAUGUAAAUAAUAUUUAUGAAACCUCACUCUUUGAAUUAGGAUGAGUAAGGGUCAAUCCUCAAAGAGUGUAAGUAAUGAGAGUAUGAAUUUUAUUCCCUUUAUUCCUUACAUAUACCUAUGUAUAAGAUGAUGAUGAGUAGAAUCAGAUUUGAAAAUGAUAAAAAUAAGAGGGAUGGAGAAGGUGGUGAUGAGGAAAGAAUGAAUAGAACACAAGAUGAUGAUGGAAUAAAUAAUUAAACUACUUCAAACUAAGUGUUAAACUAACCAUAGAGAGGAUUACUAGGAUGCUCUAAAUCUGAAUCUUGCACAAACCUCAUUGCACACUAGUCCUAGGCUAAGUGAUGCUUGAUCUAUGAUGAUCUUGUGUGCUCCAAGUAGUCUUCUCUCCAUGAUAAUCUUGAGCACGAAAAUAUCAUUGACCAAGGCUUGAUUUCUCUCUUUUUUCCUUCAGCUAGCUGUUUUUAGAGAGAGAACUAAAAAGCACUUUUCAAGAGGAGGUGAGAUGUCUUAAUCCCCUAGAGAAUUAUGCUAUUCUAAUGGAUAGUUAUGAUGAAUAACUAUCUCUCUUGGUGGAUGGCCUAGAUUCUUCAUGAGGGUGGCACUCUAAUAUUCCUCUCAACCUUAUCUUAAGGCGCCCUAAGAUGGAUGGCUUAAAUAUCAUCUCUUGAUAUCUUACUAAGUCCAAAUGGGCCUGACCAAGGUGACACCCUCUCUUAAGCCCAUAAACAUAUUAGGUCAGCCCUCUCCAUAAGAUUUGGGCUUUUCCUUGGGCUAAGAACUUGGGCUUCUUUCAUACUUCCAACUCAUAAUAAAACUUCACUAAGUCCUUAAAAUUAAAUAAUUAUUACGAGAAUGUGAGAGAAUUACCACUCAACUUCAUGAAAGUCAAGUGGGGUUUGUCUCAUAAUAUCAAUAAAAUAAGUAAAAAAAAUAUAUUAGAACUUAAAUGAUAAAACAUUAUGAAUAUCAUAAUGAGUUGGUAAUAUAUAUUUAAUUACAUUCUCUACCCAUUAAUUAGCAUCUAUAUAUGAGAUAUUAAUGCAUAGAUGUAACUACUAAUUUAUAAUUAUCACUACGUCUAUCUACAUCUCUCACACAAGAGUGUAUCAUCAUGAGCUUCAAAUGAAUAUAGAUUUCUACAUUUGAGCUACAUUCAACUUUGGUGAUCCAAGAAAUAUUUAUCUCAAGGCUUAAUACUUUCCAUAAACUAUUUUUGCAUUCAUCUCAAGAGCCAUUCAUCAAGAACUCUGAGAGAAGUUAUAUACUAGAAUGCUCAAUAAAAGUUUUUCACCAUGAGCUUCAACCUAGCAUAGAACAUUGCACUCAAGCUUCAAUCAACUUUUUUCAUCUAAAGAAUAAUUUAUUUCAAAGGUUGAUACUCUCCAUCAAGCCAUAAGUACUUGGGUGGUGUUUGAAUAUUUUCUGUCAUUGCUAAGAAAAUUCAACAAAUUUAAAAUUUAUAAAUUCUGGAGAAUAAGGCAAUUUUUAAUAAAGAAAUAUUUUUAGUGGAUUUUCCAAGUUGAUCAUAGGGAAGAUGAAGUAUUAUUAAUUAUUUAUCAUUUUUAUUUGAUAGAUUAUUAUUUUUAAUUAUUUUCUAGUCAAAUUAUAGCAAAAUAAGAUAAAAUUGUCAAUUGGGGGGGGGGGGGUAUUGAUGUCAACUGACAUCAGCCUAUGAUGAACAAGCCCAAGUUCAUAGUUGACGGAAAUAUGUUGACUCGUAAAUGGAUCAAAUCGAAGCCACAAUGAUUGAAAUAAGAAAUUAAUAGAAAAGGGUUUUUUUUCAAAACAUGAUGAAGGAUCAAAAGAUGUAUUAUUGGAAUCUAAAAAUAGUAAAAAUGAACAUAAAUUAAAGUUUACGAAAGAAUUGGGUAGUGCAAUCAUUGAUCGGAUUUCUGUCCAAAUAUGAUCGAUUUGUGUAGGUGUAGUGCACCGAUUGGUUUCCUACACCUUCUCCAAUUGAUGGUUGAUAAUCUCUACAAUUGUCAUUUGCUGAAAUCGAGUAGCGAAGGUGAUUCAACUCUAAGCAUAUUGUGGCGUUCGAAGAAGGAUCCUUGGAAGAAAUUCUUCACCAUUUGGAUCCAACGAAGAAUGGGAAAGAUUUAUGAAAGAAAUUCAGCCUCUAUAACAGCUGAAUGAAGGGGAAAUUUGGACGAAAUCCAUCUUUUAUAUCGGAUGGAUGGAUUGGGCAAAAUUCGACGUCUAUAGUGGCCGGAUGAGAGAGGUUUUGAUCCAAGACGGGCGUAGAAUAAUCGAGUAUGCCUUCUUCUCCUCUAGAAACACAUUUUCAAUCUUCCUUUAUACAUAUUUCACUGAUUUAUUACAAUAAAUUGUCGUAUUUGUUGCCGCAAUUCGUGCAUUCGCCGUUAACACAAAAACUCUAAAAAGAUUUGAUUUUUCGUUAGUUUUAAAUGAUUAUAAACUAUAAAAAUGACAUGCAUUUAAUUAUAACAUAAUUUUGAAUUGAGAUUUGUCAAUUUACUUGGCGAAUUUCUCUCUCGAGAAUCAACUGAUCAUUUGGCGUGAUUAUUGCCAAUUUUUCAAGAUUUUCACUGAUUUUAUGAAUUUAAUGAUUUUUCUGAAAUUUCCUUAAUAUUUCUAUAAAAUCAGAAUAAACGUAGAAAUAAUCUCAAAAAUAAGAUAAAACAUAAAAAUAUGUAAGAAAUAUUUUCAUCAUAUUACAUGACUAAUUUCGUCAUGUAAUUCCUAGAAAUUAACAUUAAAAACAUAUAAAUCAUUUCACAUCUAAUUUUUCCAAUUUAAAAUAUCAUGCAAGAAUUUUAAUUAAAAUUAAAGUAUAAAUCACAGAAAUACUGAGGACAUUAUCAUGUAAAUAUUGAGAGUUAUCAGGUGGUGAGGGGAGAAAAGAUUUAUGUGAAGUCAUGAGGUGUUAAUAGUCUAAAGGUGCAUGCGAAGGGUUUGGUAUUUGAAGAAAUUGAAUUAGAUUAUUUGCAUGAUUGAGUUUGUGAGUCUCAUUAUAUAUUUUAUGAAGAAAAUGGUAAAAAUAUGGUAGAAAGGAUCUUAUAGGACCAAACAUUGCCUAAUGAGUCCCAAACUAGUAUAAGUCUCGAUGUUCUUAGUGAUAAAGAGAUAGAGAGAGAGAGAGAGAGAGAGAGAGAGAGAGAGAGAGAGUAGUNNNNNNNNNNNNNNNNNNNNNNNNNNNNNNNNNNNNNNNNNNNNNNNNNNNNNNNNNNNNNNNNNNNNNNNNNNNNNNNNNNNNNNNNNNNNNNNNNNNNNNNNNNNNNNNNNNNNNNAGAGAGAGAGAGAGAGAGAGAGAGAGAGAGAGAGAGAGAGAGAGUUGUGAAGGAACCUACAGAGAGAGAGAGUGCCAUUAGAGAAUGUGUUAACACAUCAACUAGUAGGAAAAUAAGGAGAAUUGGAAAGGUUAGCAUAAACCUAAUACAUCCCUUAUUGGUGUUUCAUUUAGUCCUUUUUAAACCUAAUAAUUGAUAUCAAAGCCAAGUUGAUAAGUGGAUAUUAAAAUAUAAAAGAGCAGAUCUUAUCACUAAUGAAACACUUGAAUUCUUUAGGCCACUUAUGUUUGAUGAAACUAAUUAUACAUUCUGAAAAACUAGAGUUAAGAUUUAUGUCAUAAUUUAGUGAUUAAAGGUAUGGAAAUAAUUCAAGAUAAUCUAUAAAAUAUAUAAAUGAGUUUAUGGAUGAACAAACAUGAAUUUUGAAUUUAAGGGCAAUGAAUAUCCUAUUUAGUGCUAUUCUUGUCUCAAGUUGUUAGAUAACUAAAGAUAUUUGAAACAAGUUGGAGGUAAUAUAAAAAGAAAAUAUCAGGUAAAAAUUACCAAGACCAACAUCUUAGUAAUUAGGUAUGAAUGAUUUCAAUUGAAAGAAAGAGAAAAUAUUCGGAAUCUUGUUAAAAGAUUUAAUGAAAUAAUCAAUGGCAUAUAAAAACUUGAUAAAAUAUUUAAUAAUAAGGAAUUGAAUCAAACUAAUUUGAUCAUGAAUAGAUGAUUGGAUGGAAAAAAUAUUAUAGAAUUUAAAAAUAUUUUAAAUUCCUCAUCUUGAUGAAAUCAUUACAUCAUUACUAACACAUGAGAUUGAUGUAGUUAAGAGUAAAUAUUUGUUUAAAAAAUAUUUUUAAACUACUCUUAAAUAAAUUGAAACUUAUAAUGAUGAUGAAGAGAUUUUCUUAUUUUCUAGACAAAUGAAUAGAAAAUUGAAAAGAAAGAAAAAUUUAUGUUAAAGAAUAUUAUAAAUAAAUUUUCUAAAAUUUAUGUUGAUUUGUGCUUUAAGUAUAAGAAUUUUUCCUUUGUGGAUCAAAUUCUUCUCUUGAAAAUACAAAAAAUAUAUAUUUAUUGACUAUAAGAAAGCCAUAACUAUAGGAUGAAUCUAGAAGUUAAAGAUCUACAACUAAAUCAUUUUUCUCAACUAUUUAACAUAAUAUGCAUGAAAGGUUAUUUCUAAAUUGAGUAUAUAAUAGUAGAAGGUUCAAGGAAACCAAGAGAGGAUGAAUGCAAAGAUUAAAUAUUUUAUGCAAAUGAUACUAAGAUUGAAAAGAAAAAUUUGAUGUGCAAUUAUUUCAUAAUAAAUUAUGUGGCAGCCAUAAAGUAUUAAGCAUGCUUCUUGAAAGUUAACUAUGACUAAUAAAAGAAGGCUCAUGGCUUAAUUUGAAAAAUGUUAGAACUAGUUUUAAAAGUGAUAAUAUAUCUAAAACAUGCUAUAUAUUAGUACUUAAGGGUAGUGUAGAUAGACCUAAAGUAAUUUGGGUCCCCAAAAUAAAUAUUUAAUUAUUUUUUCAAGAGCAUCUUUAAUGUACCAACUCAUAGUAGUUAUUAGACAGUGGGUGUUUAAGACACAUGAUUACAGAUAAAAUGAUAAAUAUAUUUCUAUAUGAAACAUCCCUUUAAAAGAUUAAUUUCUAAUUAAGCAUAUUUUACUUGUUGAUGGAUUGAAAAAGAACUUAACAUUAAUUAUUUAUGUGAUAAUGAUAUUAGAGUUAUAUUCAAGAAAUAUAGAUGUUUGAUUUAAAAAGAUAAAUAAUGAUAAAAAUUUUUAAUAGGUUAUAAAUUAAACUGUGUUUAUUUUUAGACUUUAAAAAGUUGACUAAAUCUAAUGUUUAUCUAAUGGAUGAAAAAAAUAAAAAAUAAAUAUAUCUUUGGCAUAGAAAACUCAUACACAUAAAUAUUAGAAUGAUUUAUAGAUUGUCAAAAAUAGGUUUGAUUACAAGACUACUAAAACCUUAUAACAUAAAAAACUUUAUAGGUGAGAGCUACAUGCAUCUCUACGUAUGUCAAAGGCACUUUUAUAGACUUUACAUUUGAUACUUAACUCAAUUCUUGAUAUAUUGUAUGAUCCUCUGAUAACAUGCAUUUUGCACUUAGAAAUGUAUGAUUAUGAUUUUUUUUUAAAACAUAAUUUACAUCAUUUUGACGCAUGUUAUCAUAAAAUUCAUAUGUUUUCAUGAAUAUUAUGCUAUUUCACCUAAGUUGUCAUUUUCAUGAUUUUCUUGAUAAUUUUUAGAUUAAGUGUACUUGACCUUUCUUAAGGUCAAAUACUCUGAAAUAUAAUUAUAUGCAUUAGUUUUAAUGAUUUCAAGGCUUAUGUGAAUUGAAGGAUUUAAGGAAGAAAGCAAGGAAAAGAAGAAUUCAAGUCAACCUUUUGAUUUUAAAAACUUAAAGUCAAAGAAACUAACUUACUCGGUUUUUUUAUUUUUAAGUUACUAAUCACAUGAUAAUUUAGAAUAUUAAAUUUAUGAUCUGUUAUCAAAAGUUUCAUUGAAAAAGGCCUUAUAUUUUAAAUUUUAUGAAUUUUGGAAGUUAUAUUAAUUUUUCUGAAUUUUCUCUAUUUUCUCAAAAUUAUUUAAGGCCUCAAAUCGGCAAAAGGAAGCCCCACGAUUACGUGAUCUGAUGUGGCAUGAGAUACUUGUGGCAGCCAAUGUGGCAUGCAGCAAUGCCUACAUGGCACAUGAGAGUGCUAUGUGGUGCAAAGAAGGCUGCUGACACAUUAGCACCUGCAUGGCAUGUCGUUAGAGAGUGUCAAAGGGCAUUAAAGGAACAAUGACACAAUUAGGAGUGUUGGAUCAGAGUCAAUCCUGGAGUCAAAUCUAGAGCAUUGAUUUGAUACACCAGAGUUUAACCAGCGAAAUGGUGGUGCAUGAUGUGGUGCUCUGGGAAUGCUCUAAUGGUGAUCUAAUGGGUGCUUUCCAAUGCAAUAUUUCUUCUUCAAACAAUGCAGUGAUGUGGCAUCUUAUGAGUGCUUCAUCUCAGAUCUAAUGGGUGCAACUUUCACAUUGUUUCUUCUUCAAACGGUUGGGCAACAUGGUGUAAUCUCAGCUCUGACGUCCUUAUGAAGAUGAAAUCUAAUGGAUGCGCCCAAAAUCACCUAUAAAUACUCUUUCCUCACCAAAAAAAACUUUUUUUGACAAUUCUGAUUGAUCAGACCAAAAAGACACAUGCUCUCUUGAAUCAUUUGAUUAUUUUGUGUUCUAUACUCAUUUCUGCAUUCAUUGAGCCCAAUAGAUCAAGAUUUCAAUGAGAAACUGGAGAGAAUUUGCUGCUUGAACUUAAAACUUCGUCCAAGAUCAAUCCUUUCAUCUAGUGAUUAAUUGGAUCAAUCUCUUGGUGUUUUCAGGUUAGUUAAGUCUUAUUCCCUCUAAUAUAUCAUCAUUAAGGUUUAAUUUAUUUUUCAAAGCUUAGAUUAGGAGAAUGUCAUCAUUUAUUAUCACUUUCUCUCUCUUAAUCCAUGAUUUUUCUCUCUCUAACUUCUCUCUUCGAUUUCUCCCUUGAUUUAAGUCUGAUUUUCUUCAGAUUUAAUUCAUAGGAAAUAUCUGUCUACUUUCUAAAUAUAUGACUUUCAUCUUAAUCUAAUUCCAUUUCAUCGUCCAAUUUGAUUGUAUUUAAAUAAGUCUCAAAUUCAACUAUAAUUCUCCAUGAAUUUUGACCCUUACUCACAUUAAUGCUAAAUUAAUCAAUCAAUUUAGUGAGUUAGGUUUAAUUUUUCACCUUGUUAUAUGCAUGAUUUUGGCUCAUUACCCUCCUCCCAUUGUUGAUAAAAACACCAUCAAUACUUUUUUACCCUAAUUGAAUGAUCCAUAGAAUUCAACUAUGUUGAGCAUAAAUUUUUUUUAGUUUUCAUCACCAUAUUGAGCUAUUUAUUUCAUAGAUAAGUCAUCUUCUCAAGCAUAGAAACAAUGCACAUGACAAGCUCUUUGAAACAUUUGCAUUUAUCUUAUAGUACAUAUAAUGGAUUAUAUUCUAUUAUCCUCAAGAUAUUGAUAAAUCUACUUUUUAUAUAAUGGAUUAUAUUCAUAUUAAUAGUGAGUGGCCUUAUUGCUCAUCUUCCACCUCAAAUUCUUCAUCUUUUAAUCUCAAUUUCCUUCACAUCAUUUCCUUGGUUGAAAAUUUUACUUUAGCAUUGAAUAAGUAUGGCAACAUCUCGAAAUGAUGGAAGAAAGCUUGAAGAUAUUAAAGACAUCACCUUGAAACUAAAAUCAUUUUUCUCAUAACUUUCACUUCGGAUGUAGCUUAUUUAUUUCUUAUUAUAUUAUUAUCGUGGGAUUUAUAUGCAUACUUUUUGAUAUGAUAAAAAGAGAGAUAAAUAUUUAAGACUAAAACUCGAAUGCCCAUGAACUUAAGGGAAGUACUUAUUCAAUGGGAGAAAUGAAUGCUUGAGUGACUAUUUUAAAUGGUUGAACACAUUAUUUGAAAUGAUUUUAUUUAUCUGUAAUGAUGAAAAUUUUCUAUGUUGAUUUGUGUGGAAUAUAAUAUAUAUUAUGUCUUUUUCACUUGGAUCAACACGUAAAUAAAUUUUCUCAAAUAUGUUUUUGAAGUAUCAAAGAAAGGUAGAUUGUUGAUGCUUUUAUUUUUAAUAUUAAAAAUGUGAUUUUUUAAACCAAAAUAUGUUGAAUAUUUAUUUAAUUUCAUGUGGGAUGAGAGUUAACAUUAAAUGAUUAGUAUUUUUAAGAUUAGUUUAUAUGUAUGAUGUUCAAUGAUUUUGAAAUUCUAUGGCCAGAAAGCAAAAUCAUAGGAGUGAAUAUUUGAGAUUUAUUAACUUGAUUUAGGCUGAAACUAAUCUUAAAAUGCAUCAUUAUAUAGAUUCCAGAAAUGAUAAUGGAAAGUUGAAUUUUAGUGGACAUGAGAAGUUACUAGUUAUUAUCAAACCUAGAAUCUAGAUGAUGAAGCAUUGUCAAUUUUUGAAAAUUAAAUGAUGGGCUAAAUGUGCUUACCUAGACUUGAACUCAAAUGUAAACAUAUUUAUUUACAAGAAAAAAAAUUUCUAGUUUGAAUUUCAAAUUAGUCGGAUGAAAGAAUGGAGAGCUUUGAAGCAAAAAAAGACAUAGGUCACUACUUCAUAUUUGAUCAAUUAUAAGAUUUUCAAAAUCAGCUGACCAAUUUUCAAGAUGAGAAAUAAUUAGAAAAUGAUUAAUAUAUAAAAUAGAAAGUUUGAAAGGAAACUCAAGAACUCAUUAAUGCCUAUGUACAUCUUUUUUACAAGAGUUUAUCACCUUGAGGUUCAAAGGGAUAUGGAUCACUGCACUUGAGCUACAUUGGACUUUAGUAAUCUAAGGAAUUUUCAUCUCAAAGACUGAUACUCUCCAACGAUUAUCUUCAGAUCCAUAUCAAGAGUCAUUCAUCAUGAACUUCAACAUAUGUCAUUUACCAUGAGCUUCAACAAAAGUCUUUUAACAUGAGUUUUAACAAAGGACAUAAUAUUACAUUUAAAUUCAUUCAACUUUGUUAAUACAAAGAACAAUUCAUUUUAAAAGUUGAUACUCUCUACCAGACCUUGAUGUACUUAGGUAAUGAGGGGAUAAGGAGUUAAGUGAAGGCACAAAGUGUUAAUAUCAUUCUUGUGCCUAUGAAGGGUGUGGUCUCUAAAGAGACUAAACUUAAUCAAACAUGGUUCUGCCCAUGUUUUGAUUGAUAUGAGCUUUACUUUUAUAUCUACCAGUUUUUCUUAAGUUUUUGUUAUUUUUCAACUUUUAUUUAAUGGUUCAAAAUCAAUUUUUUUAAAGAGGGUCAUGUCUAAAAAUGGGUAGAUAUAAAAGUAACACUCAUUUUUCACUAUAGAUAAUAGUCAUCUUCUCUAUCUCCUUAUUGGCACAUGAUGACACAAGGCAUACAAAAUUAUGUAAAUAAAAUUAUAAAAAUAAUUUUAAAAUAUUAUAAAUCAUAUUAGACAUGUAACCAAUUUAAAUAUUUUUAAAGGUAACAAAAAUAUUCAAUUUGUUGGAUAUAAAGUUACACCUAGCUGAUUUAAUUGAUUGGAUCUGAUUAGCCUCAUAUAUUCAUCUUGUAUUAUUCUAUUUUCUUAUUUGAAAAUAACCAAUGAAAAAUAAGAAAUUUUAUAAUGAUUUGGUUCUCAUUGACAUACCCCACUCUCUAAAGAUGCUCAUCCUUGAGUUCCACUAGUCACUUGGUAUUUGACCAUUGAUCACAAGGGUUAAGUUGCAAUAAAAUAUCGCUCUAAACUCUCACUAGAUUCACAAUUCUAUAAUGCCUAACUCCUGAUCAUAAGGUUCAACUUCUUUGAAUGACUAGUCAUGCUUAUCAAAUGUAUAACCACAAAAUAAUACAAAUAUCUCAUCUUGUGGGAAUUUCAAAAAGAAUUUAUGUUGAUGAGUUAUUAGAAUUUGAUGAUGGAAUUGAUUUCUAUUUUUGAUUUUAUGGUCCUCUUCUUUAACUAAAUCUUUUUGGAUGACAAAGACAUCUCAUUAAUUUCUAUUUGAGAUGAAAUUAUUUAUAUUCUAAUCGUAUUCCCAGCUUUAUGUCUCUAUGGUUGUGGCUUUAUUUCUAAAUUUUAGUUAAAAUUCUUCUUUUUGAAUGUUGCAUGAUGUUAGUAAUAAGAAGGUAUAGUCAAGCCUAUAUUAAAAUGGAUGCAAAGUGCUCAAUUUAUCAAUGUAUAUUUGAUCUGGUCUUUCUUUAUUUUCUAUCUUCUCAAUAUUCUCUUUCCAAAAUUUAGAAAAUCAUAUGAAAAUAUAUAAAUAUGAUGCCAAUUUUAAGUUUGUCUUUUAUGUCGAAACCCAUCGUAGAAUCUCAAACCUAUAACACAUAUAUCCAAUGGUAAUGGGUUUGGUGAUAUCACAAUAAUGUGCAAUAGGCAAAAAUAUAAUUCAUAAAUAUUCAUUCAAAUGAAUUAAUAAUUUCAAAUACAAAUAAUAUACACUGUUGCAUACAAAACAUGAACAUGAAAUAUUACUCGAAGGGAUAUAAGUAGUUUAACCACACAUUUGUGAUUUCUUAGGAUUGAUAAACAAUACGUAAAUUCGUGUCAAGAAUAAUGUAGUUCAAAACAAACCAAUGAUUUCAAGUACAAAUUCCAUGUCUUCAUUUUCAAAUUGUCAACAUGUGAUAAUAUGUUCAUAUUUUCAUUCUAAAAAACUUCAUACAUGAACAUUUUUUGUAGUGAAAAGUAUUUUUUCAAUGUAGGGAUAUAAUAUAAUUCUGAUUACAAAUACAACUACUAUAUAAAAGAAUGAUUUUGAGUGCAUUAAUUAUGAAUCAUAAGCAUAAAAAAUGCUUGUGUUCUCAUCUAAACACUUUAAAUGUGAUAAAGAUGUUCUCAAAGAUCUCAUAGCCAUUACUUUUACUUGUGACUGGCCAAAUGGAUUAUCAUGUUAUGUUUAAUCAAAUAUAACUAUAAUCUAAUCACUUGAUUAGAAAUAUAUAUGUGAAUUCGUUACCAUUAAAAUAUUUCAGGACGAUCAAAACUCCUAAAACCAACACACUUGAGCAUUGUACUGAAAAUGAUGAUUUCAUCCUUGAGUUGAACUUUUUUUCUCAAUUUUAAGGAUUUACUCGAUAAAAAUCAUCAAGAUUAUCCAAUAAAAUGAUUUUGCAAUCAUAAAGUUCAUCAAAUUAUUCUUUAAUAUGUUUAGAGAAAAUAUAGAGCCAUCCCACUUAAAUAUCAUGUUUUUUCAGAAAAAUGCAUCUUCACAUUUUUUUUUCUUCCCCCAAACUGAGAAUGUGACCACAGCGAGAAGAUGUGUUCACUAUUUGCCGUUCAGAUCGAGAUCGACGGUCGCAGACUCAGCUCCCUGCUUGGAGUUGGCAGCUCGGGGUCGUGGCUUCCCGCGGGCGGACAAACCGGUCGCCGUCGGCGUACGAUUCCAGCGCGACGGCGUAGCGUGCGCGUGGUGGUUAACGCGCGCCUCGUGGCGGGCCGUGCGCCGGGAGAGCGACGGCGGAAAAACAACCUGACCAAGGAAAGGCGGACGGGGGGCGGAGAGUAUCAACCACCAUCCUGUCAGUGACAGUGACGGCGCAGGGGGAGUUAGGGACGAAGCGAUGUGCACCGGGAAUUACACGUCAUCCAAAAUUUAGCCCUAUCGGGAAUUUUAGCGUUGACUCAGGCCCUUUGGGUGGGACCUUUGCCGGUCAAAAGCGGUGGCUGUCGGGGAAUAGACGAGAAUGCCCUCGUCGAGGCAGGGAGGGUACCCCAUCAACAGUCCUGUCCGCUUUCGGGUUCCAUUUUUUCGCGGGAAAGGUGAGGUAGGGGAGCACGGGGUCUCGGAAGGGAGGAGGGAGGGAUUUCGAGGGAGUUUUUGGGGCGGCGGGGGGGAGGAGGGGGGGAGGAGGGAGGAAGCGCCAGCAGGGGCCCUGCGGGAUGGGCAGGGGGGCUGGCGGGGAGGGGAAGAUGGAGAGCGGGGGACGUGGGAGGCAGCAGAUGAGAGCCAUGCUCCGUAAGAACUGGCUUCUGAAGAUCCGCCACCCCUUUGCCACCGCGGCCGAGGUCUCCAUCGCUCUCUUCCUCCCCCGUCCUUCCUUCCUUCCCCCUCACCUGUUCUGCCUCUGUCGUCGCUCGUCACCUUCGUCUCCAAUUGUGGGAGAAAAGCCGAUUUGAUUGUGCCUGCACACGCUGGUUUCUCUUUUUCUCAGGAUUUGCUGAGCUUCAUUAUUCUGCUCUCUUGCUGUGGAGCCCUUUUGGUCGAUCAUUCUGCGCUAUUCUUUUGGGUGACUCUGUUGUUCGUGAAUACUUGCAGCUGCUGUUGCCCACGUUCGUCAUGUUGCUGCUGAUAGUAGUGAGGACUCGUGUCGACACCCAAAUCCAUCCAGUGCAGGCGUAUGCAUACUCGCCUACUUGCCACCAUUCUUUUUUGUGAUUCUGACCUAUCAUGCACUCGUUUCUCUUCCUCUCUUAUUGCUUAUAUUUUCUGCCAAUUGGCUUACCACCUUUGGUGUUCUCUGGCGUUCGUCUUACAGAUACAUUCGCAGAGGCAUGUUCGUGGAAGUAGGAAAGAGCGAGGUGUCCCCAGAUUUCGACAGUAUCCUUCAAUUAUUGGUAUCUCAGGGUGAACAUCUGGCCUUCGUGCCCGAUUCAGAUGAGACGAGGGCUAUGAUUGAUGUUCUAUCCUUAAGGUUCCCCCUUUUGAAGGUAGUCUCAUUUUGAAUCAAUCAAAUACAUCAAAAAGUUUCGUAACGCGACCCUGAAAGUCAAUGAAUGAAUUUUUUUUAUCAUCUCUCCAGCUUUCCAGAUCGCUCUUCGCAUGUACACUCUUUUGUUUUGAAAGAAAGGGUCAUUUCUUCUCACACUUCACCAGAAUAUCUUCUCUAAGCUGCGGUCAUGUUGGUGAAUGAAGAUAUGAUAAGCCAAAUUCAUUUAAUCUUCCGGCUUCUUGUCAAAGUAGGAUGAUGAUGCCCAUGCGUAUGAUUGACUUUGAGUUUCCAGAAGAUUGGGCCACACAUUUUCUUUUUUGAAAUAUCUCUUCUGUUGAAAAUGAACCAUCGAUACAAUUUUACCAAGAUCUGGGAAUACACUCUAAAUCUUUUCCAUAGAUUGGGUCGAGUUGUGGAUAUGUUCAGGCCUUAGGCAGCACCUUUACGUUUUACCACAUUUAUUAAAAUAUCCCUCCUCUGCUUUAUUGAAAGGUGUCUGACAUAGGAAAUUUGUCUUUCACUUAAAUGGAGCAUACUGCUUCUUGAACUGGUUGAUCCGUUAUUAAUUGGGAGCUCUGAGUUCCUAUUGGAGUGCGGUUCUUCGUUUUUCACAAAUAAGCUGAUAUUUGUGGAGAGUUGAAAUUUUGCAUUUUUUGUGGGUGGCAUGGUCAAUUUUGAGUGCACUAGGUUUAAUUCCUGCAUUCUCUAUAAAAUUCCUAUUACUUCUACUGGCCGUAUUUGCUUUUUUGUCUUUAUUAUUUGCAUAGGUUGAAUUUCUGCAUGAAGUGCAAUAACUAGAUAUCUUUUUGACCAUGUAGGCUUUUUGCAGAUCUCAAUGAUCUUCAGUGUCAUUGGUCUAUUAUUAGAUGGACUAUGGAGGAUAGUUUGAUUUUUUUUAUUUUGGCUCUUUGCCCUUGUUUAGUUCAUAGGUGGUUAAUCCCUAGCAGAAAAACUUUGGCUGAGUGAAGCAUGUAGAAAAAUUACCUCAUUGAUUUUACCUUUUAAUCAUCUGUCUAGAAGUGACUAUCAAAAAUCUCCUUGAACUGGAACAUGUUUGUCUGAACCAUGUGGGAUCUGGAAUAACUUAAUUUUUCUUUUACCUUUAUUUAUAGUUUAUUUUAUGUUCAAAUGUAAUUUCAAAAAACUGAAAAUUUCGAAAUGACGAUGGAAACUUUAUUGCAUCUUUAAUCUCUAGUUGGGUUUAGUGUUGCACAGAAUCUAUUGCAGAGAAGAUGCGUUACGAGUUUGUAGAGUAUUCUUACAAUAUUUAAUGUUGACAAACAUUUCCUCUAUUUAUUUAUUUAUUUUGUUAAUAGGUGGUUGGACUGAUAUACAAAGAUGAACUAGAGCUUGAGGCGUACAUUCGUUCUGACUCUUAUGGUGUCUUGGAUCCAACCAUGUAAGUUUUACUUUUAUAUUAUUUUUUAAUGAUAUUACUUGUUACUUCUGGUUUUUAUCAACAAUGUUAAUCCCACGCAUCUGAAAAGUGAAAAAUUAGGCCUAUUAAUUUUUCUCCUUUGUUUAUUUUGGGUGACAAGUAGCAUUAUUUUUCUUGAAAUGUAAAAUCUAGGUGCCCCCAACAAAAGAAUUUUAGUGGCACUGCUACAAUUUCCGCAGUAACUUUAUCUCUUCUUUUUCCCCUCACUUGAGGGAUGCAAUGGCUAUUGUGUAUUUGGGAUGCUUUGGAUUAGGAAUAUAGAGGGAUGAGAUGUUUGCAAUUUUUUUAAAAUGACGAUUGACUAAAUUUACAUAAUUUUAGGAUAAACUUACAACAUAUAGACGGUGUCAACUGACCAGGUUACAUCAGAAGCCUAUGUUGCCGUCAAAGGAUUGGAUGCCUGAGCUGGGUAAGUUUAUUGGGAAUUUGACUCGACAUGAAAAACCUAGCUGUAGGAUUAAUUAGCAAUUUUAAUCAAGAGCCUUCACCAAAUUCUAGUCCUGAGGUUUUCUGGUCAUGCUGGGAAUGAAAGGUUUGGGUAACCUGGGUCCUUGACAGUUUUUGCCGACUUUCUGAUGGAUGCCUCUCACAAAUGGGAUUAAGAGAAGCAGCAUUGAAAAUUUUAAAGACCUGAGGGAGGCUGUUGUAGAAUGGGCAUCAGGCUGUGGAAUGGAAGAAUGACACUGACAAUCAAUUGGUACAUUUUUACUGUAGUAAACCGAAAAAUUCUCAAUCCAAUGAGUGGAUGAUAUAUAUAGAAAAACUACUAGCGUGGUGGCUGCAACUUCUUCAUUCCAGUGAUGGGAUCUGCAAUGAGCAGUUUUUCAUGUGAAAUGUUGGUAGAACACCAAUUGAUAUUGAAGGAAAACACUUCUUGAAUUGAAGAACAAGGUACACAGAACAAGAAUACAGAGGGUAGAAAUGACCAGUCGGAGUGACUGAUCACUUUGGAGGAUAUUCGAGAGAUCCUCCCACUCUCCACUUGGUCCGUUCUCUCCGGAUGCCCUCUCUUGCUGACCUACCUCCCUUCUUAUACAUCCUUGGUCCCUUGUUUGCCACUUCCACUAACUGUUUCUUGGAACCGGUUCAACUCCUCUGUCAGUUACUGACCCAACCGGUUCACCUUCUACCAGUUGGGGGCACCACUUACGACGUUGCUGAUAUGUAAUUAUCAGUGUCAUACCAUUACUCCCCUCCUUAUCAUUCAACUUGUCCUCAAGCUGGAAAUCCGGAAACCUCUUUCGCAUCAGUUUCACUGAUUCCCAAGUUGCCUCAAGUCUGGCUUUAUCAUUAAUCAUAAGAUUAACGGUUUUUGUACUCAACUGCCACUGGCGGCAUGUUUCGAAUGCCAAGUAUGGGCAAAUUGCACUGGCUCCAUAUCCAAUCAAGCAAGCAAAUUGAUGAGUACUGAAACACUGACCAGUCAGCAACAAUGGAAGCUGACAUGCGCAAACCAUUUUGGAUCAAAUGCUGGUGAACAGCACCAACUGCUAGAAGUAUAGGGAUAGCUGGAUGAGUUGGUUCUAUCUCCUCAGAGCAGUCAGAAAGUAUAACCAGCUGUGACCUGUUACGAACUGCUUCAUCAGCAGCUUCACAAAGUUCUUCCAGUGCCUUCCAUAAUGAGCCAUCAAUACCUUUGCCAAUAUCGAAGAAUGUUGGCAGCACUUGGGGCUUGAGCGCAGUAUCUUUCAUUAACGUUUCAAGUUCACCUUCAUUCAGCACAGGACUAGAAAGAAUAACCUGAGCAGCAUUUUGAGGCCCAACCUCCAAAAUAUUUCCUCGUUUUCCAAGAUUCACCUCUAGUGACAUAACUAAGCCUUCUCUGAGAAGAUCAAUUGCAGGAUUUGUAACUUGCGCAAAUGGUUGCUUGAAAUAGUCAUUGAUCAUGUGGGGCGUCUGAGAAAGUGCAGCCAAAGGAAUAUCAUCUCCCAUGCGAAAUGUUGGCUCCUCCCCCUGUGAAGCCAUUGUUUCAAUAAUCAUCUGAACAUCCUCACUUGAGUAACCAAAGGCCCUCUCAGUUUGUCGUAGCCACCGUUUGGGAUUUUCACCUGUAAACGUCAAUAAUUCCCCUUUUCUUGGUCCCGAUGCCUCUGUCGCAGCAAGCACUGCUGCCGGUGGAGGAUCUGGAGCCGAAGCUCCCUCCUCACUAGAUCUUGGCAGUUGUGUUGUUCCCGACGGAAUAGAUGAGAGCUUUCCCACAGUAAGAUUUUGAAGAUGGAGCAAAAUUUGCUCCAUCGUUUCUUGGUGUCGGUCCGCCCUAAUCUUCUGAUUCUAUAGCUCGGUGUGGAGUUCCUCCAUAUGAGCUUCGACUUUGUCCAUCUUGGAUGUUGCCGCCUUCUUGACCACACGAGGAUCGUCUGGCUCUAAUAUUAAUUUGGUAGAACACCAAUUGAUAUUGAAGGAAAACACUUCUUGAAUUGAAGAAUAAGGCACACAAAACAAGAAUACAGAGGGUAGAAAUGACCAGUCGGAGUGACUGAUCACCUUGGAGGAUAUUCGAGAGAUCCUCCCACUCUCCACUUGGUCCGUUCUCUUCGGAUGCCCUCUCUUGCUGACCUACCUCCCUUCUUAUACAUCCUUGGUCCCUUGUUUGCCACUUCCACUAACCGUUUCUUGAAAUUGGUUCAACUCCUCUGUCGGUUACUGACCCAACCGGUUCACCUUCUACCAGUUGGGGGCACCACUUACGACGUGGCUGAUAUGUAAUUAUCGGUGUCAUACCAAAUGUCAUUCACGCUUUGCUUGGUGGGUGGUUUUUAACUUGGGUGUGAGCAUUAGUUUGGAGUAUCCUAAAGUAGGAUGUCAUGGCCGUGGUUAAAGAUUCGGAAGGGAAGCUGCUAUCUGUGGAAUAUUUUGGCUUCGUUUUUCUUGUCCCACUCUUAAUACAUGGAGUUGAUGCACUAAGAUUUCAUGCCUUCUACCUUUUUACUGAUUGUCAUUAGACAUUAAUAUCUGUUGCUGCAACUUUUAUGCUUUGGACAUCUGCUUGUUCAUGUUGUACCUUGACGCAUUUCCUAUUUCUACAUCUCGGUUGGAUUUCAUUUGUUGGUUUUUCCUGGAAUCUGAUGUCAUUUUACUCUCCGUAACCCGUGUAAUUUAACAUUACUUUUCCUUCCAGGAACCUUUCAAAUCCAAAAUUAAUAGGGGCAAUUGUAUUUCAUGAGCAAGGUCCUCGGUCAUUUGACUACAGUAUACGCCUUAACCAUACAUGGGCCUUUUCUGGCUUUCCUGACGUCAAGACAAUCAUGGAUGUGAAUGGACCUUAUUUGAAUAACUUGGACCUAGGCGUUAGUACUGUACCAACUCUCCAAUACAGCAUGAGUGGCUUUUUCACGGUAUGAGUUAUCUCUUUUCGUAUCUGUUUGUACUUGUGUUCUGUAGGAUAUUCUCUCUUGAUCAUUUCCAGGAGACUAAUUUUAAAUGUGUAACCCUUUAACAGAAUUUGAAGACUGAUUUAAAUAGUUCAUUACAUGUGAGGGUAAUUUAUUGGCAUGAUCCUGUUGAUAUAAUCAGCUUGAGUAUUCAAUCUGGAAAUGCACUUUUUAUUUUUCUACAAGAUCCUGUUUCCUCUUAUUGCGAAAGAUUCCCGUGUCACUGUAGAUGUUAUGUGAUGCGUAAGCGGCUUUAAUAUGUGUCUCUCGUAAUUGGAAUUUCAUGAACAAUGGUUGACUGUGUUCACUAAACAUUAGUUCUUUUUGAGGAUACUAAAGUAAUCUCUAUGCGUCUGCAAUUUUAUUAGGGGGAUUUCAGAUGAAGCUAUGAUUUAAGUGUUUAUCACUCUUCCUCUCGUGUUUCAUCUCUCUUCUGAUAAUGUAUUUUUUUUCUUUGUUGGCUUUUUGCAGUUGCAGCAGCUUGUGGAUUCAUUUAUAAUUCUUGCUUCACAGAACAGUGCUGAAACUCCUGUUGAACACAGAGGACUAUUGCUUAAUAAAUCUGCAACCAACAACAACAAAGGCAAUCCCUGGUCAAAAUUUAGUCCUGCAAAUAUUAGGGUAGCUCCAUUCCCGACUCGUGCGUAUACAGAUGAUGAGUUCCAAUCAAUUAUAAAGAAGGUCAUGGCCGUCUUGUAUGUAUUCUUUUGCCUUCUUCCCCCACUUAUUUGUCUCUAGUCUUAUAGAUAUCCAUUCAGUUCAAUUUACCUGCAAGUUCUGAUGAUAUUGUUUUUCAUGUCAUAGGUAAUAUUAGCAUUUAAUGUUUGAUAAUAUUGUGAUAUUUCUUUCGUUGGGUACUCCCCAGCAAUGGGGAUCUCAAAUCUACCCUGUUUACCUUCGCUGAAGUUCUGGAUUAAAAAGAUUCUUAUGUUGUACAUCAUGCUACAUUUUAUUUUCAGUAGUUUUGUGAUGGUCAUUUAAUAGGGCUUCAAUUUCUGGUUUUUGAGGAUUGUACGUAUUUUGUUACGUCCAUCUGACAGUGUUUUUUUCGUAUGAGCAGAUACCUAUUGGGAUUUCUUUAUCCAAUAUCUCGUCUACUGAGCUAUUAUGUUUUUGAGAAGGUUUGAGAUCCAAUUCAAGACUCCGUUCACUUCUACUUUGUUUCUUUGUAUAAUUUCUCCUACCUUUCAAUGGUUUAUGAAUAUCUUGUCACUUUACGUUAUUUUAAUUUUAAUCAUAUUUUCUUGUAGGAAAACAAGAUUAAGGAAGGCCUCUACAUGAUGGGACUUAAGGAUGAGAUCUUUUACCUUUCUUGGCUUAUCACAUAUACCCUACAAGUCAGUCCUUCAGAUGCAGCUUCUAUGUUCGUUAUUGUCUGUUUGAAUGUCCUUAUUGCUUUAGUUUCACAUUUUUAUCACUCAAAAGAUCUUCUGAAUAAGAUAAGUUACUUUGUAAAAGCUAUACAUAACCUGUUAUUACCGUCCAAAGACAUCUGUCUCGCUCUCUCGCUCUCUGCAUGUUUCUCACUUAUAUUGGAGUGCCAGCCUUAGUGAUAUUUCUCUUUCAAAAAGGAUAAGAGGCAUUGGAAACUUGUGGUGAAGAAUAAACAUUUGUUACUUUAACAAAAAAUGGAAGUUUUGGCUGGGAAAAGUAUUUUUGAGGAUGUGUUAUCAUCAUUGGGUUCUGACACGACCCCACACAGAAGAGACAGAGGCGGCCUGAGAAGAUCUAGAUUGAGAGUUAAGGGAACGAACAAGAAGGGAGAUGACAAGAGGGUCCCACAGGAACCUCAUAUCACUCCAGAGGCUUUCAAGAGGCCUUCCGCUCUCUAAGUGACUAUCCUUCUUUCCUCAAAAGUGGGCCCCCUGGGCCCAUGGCUCGGGCCUUCAUCCUCACCUUAAGGGUCUCAAUUUACAACCUUGCCCCUUACCCUCUACACAGACCGAC
This 57628-nucleotide long non-coding RNA is filed under the name Spirodela polyrhiza (greater duckweed). RNAcentral's name for it is "long non-coding RNA (SPOL_LNC001857)". The record is from RNAcentral. Lineage: Eukaryota; Viridiplantae; Streptophyta; Magnoliopsida; Alismatales; Araceae.